ACUCCUGUGCCCUGAGACUGAUUUGUUGUGAAAUGCAAGUUAUUAGAUUGCACUUGUUUUUCUGCUGCUUUUGCCAAAUGGUUGCAUGUUUCUGUCUAUCUGUUUUUUAUUUACAGAGGUUUGGUUUGCAUUUGUUGGUAUUGCCUGAAUGGUCUUGUUAUCUUCUGAGUUCUGGCGGCUGAGAUUGCUGGUAGUCUGCAGAACCUGGCUACAUCUGUAUUCAUGCCUGCAAUGCUUCUGAGUAACCACGUUUGAAUCUCAACCAUUAUUGGGUUUCUUCCUAAAUCCUGUACAGCGAGCUGCCUCUGUUAUUUUACGGAAAAAAUGCCAAUUUCGCAUGCUUUGUGUCUCCGUGUCUAAAUAUUUCACUACGGACUUGUUGUUCUAGAGAUGGUGGCUGGCUAGAGACCAACUUUCGGCCUCUCGCAGUCUUAAUGGGUUUUGGGCAAUUGUUGUUUUGUUCUGAACAAACCUGGCCUAGUUCAGCUCUUAAUAGAACUUCUGAUAGGCUGUGUGUAUUUUGUUAUGGUACCAAAUCAUGUUUAUCAUUUAUAUUCGUCUGUGUGACUAGCAAAAUGUUACGACACAAUUUGCUUUGAUGAUCUGGUUGUUUACCUCAGAUUCUUCUGAUUCUUGUCACCCUCCUAAUUUCUACUUUUCCCCUUCUCCAUCCUUCAGCCUGAGGAUUGAGGACCAGCUUGUUGAGGAUGGGACUCGAGCAGAUUUGGGUCAGUUGAUGAUUAUGUGGAUUAGGAUGACACCACAACUGAACAUCCAUAUUUUCGGCUGAUUCCCAUGCUCAGGCGCAAACUCAUUCUUUUGUUCUUGCCACUUAGUGCCAAACCGUGAGAAUUGUGAAAAUAAUAAUCUAUGUGAGAUAUGUAAAACCGUUGUAACUUUGAUUGUGUGCGCUCUCAGUUUGCGGUUUUGUGAGGAACUGUUCAUUUUUCUCGCGUGAGAUAAUUUGAACCUAUGAUAAUGUUGCUUAUGUGUGUAUAGCUUGCCAUUUGGGGCAGCGAAGAAUUGAUAAUUUUCCUUGCGCUCAGAUGUUUGAACUCGUGACAAAUUUGAUUAUGUGAUUUUUUACUUUCUCCCAAGAUUGGUUACGCGGGAAAUCGUAUGAGAAGUAUGUACGUGCAUUGCAUUGAAGGCUGAAAGAUAUAGAAUUGAUAAUUUUCCUUGCGCUCAGAUGUUUGAACUCGUAUUUGGGGCAGCGAAGAAUUGAUAAUUUUCCUUGCGCUCAGAUGUUUGCUCAGAUGCAGAUAUACUGAAAGCAAACAGAGAAUGCAUCCCAGCGUUCGAUCUCCCAGCUGGCUCAUUGUGAGUGUAUAGAGUGGAUCAGUGGAGUCGAGUGAACCUAGUUACGGAACGUACUGUCAAAUCAAGAUUUAGCGUGUAGAGCUAGUAAAGCAUGAACGUGGAGCAGAGUCAAGGAAUUAGAGGAGUGGAGGGGAUCCGAACACGCUCUAAGAGCAUCUCUAGUGGAACGUGUAAAUUUGAACGUGUAUAUCUUCAUAUACACGUCCAUAUACACCUUGUUAAAUUUUACACCUUUCAAUUUUUCAGUGAAACGUGUAUACACGACGUGGAAAUUAGGACGUGCAAAAAUCUCGCCCUGCAUCUCGCACGCCCGCACGGAGCGCCUCCCCCACGCAGCGCCGCCCGCCCGCCCGCACACACCNNNNNNNNNNNNNNNNNNNNNNNNNNNNNNNNNNNNNNNNNNNNNNNNNNNNNNNNNNNNNNNNNNNNNNNNNNNNNNNNNNNNNNNNNNNNNNNNNNNNNNNNNNNNNNNNNNNNNNNNNNNNNNNNNNNNNNNNNNNNNNNNNNNNNNNNNNNNNNNNNNNNNNNNNNNNNNNNNNNNNNNNNNNNNNNNNNNNNNNNNNNNNNNNNNNNNNNNNNNNNNNNNNNNNNNNNNNNNNNNNNNNNNNNNNNNNNNNNNNNNNNNNNNNNNNNNNNNNNNNNNNNNNNNNNNNNNNNNNNNNNNNNNNNNNNNNNNNNNNNNNNNNNNNNNNNNNNNNNNNNNNNNNNNNNNNNNNNNNNNNNNNNNNNNNNNNNNNNNNNNNNNNNNNNNNNNNNNNNNNNNNNNNNNNNNNNNNNNNNNNNNNNNNNNNNNNNNNNNNNNNNNNNNNNNNNNNNNNNNNNNNNNNNNNNNNNNNNNNNNNNNNNNNNNNNNNNNNNNNNNNNNNNNNNNNNNNNNNNNNNNNNNNNNNNNNNNNNNNNNNNNNNNNNNNNNNNNNNNNNNNNNNNNNNNNNNNNNNNNNNNNNNNNNNNNNNNNNNNNNNNNNNNNNNNNNNNNNNNNNNNNNNNNNNNNNNNNNNNNNNNNNNNNNNNNNNNNNNNNNNNNNNNNNNNNNNNNNNNNNNNNNNNNNNNNNNNNNNNNNNNNNNNNNNNNNNNNNNNNNNNNNNNNNNNNNNNNNNNNNNNNNNNNNNNNNNNNNNNNNNNNNNNNNNNNNNNNNNNNNNNNNNNNNNNNNNNNNNNNNNNNNNNNNNNNNNNNNNNNNNNNNNNNNNNNNNNNNNNNNNNNNNNNNNNNNNNNNNNNNNNNNNNNNNNNNNNNNNNNNNNNNNNNNNNNNNNNNNNNNNNNNNNNNNNNNNNNNNNNNNNNNNNNNNNNNNNNNNNNNNNNNNNNNNNNNNNNNNNNNNNNNNNNNNNNNNNNNNNNNNNNNNNNNNNNNNNNNNNNNNNNNNCCCCGCACAGCGCCGCCGCCAGCCAGCCCGCCUGCACGCACAGCGCCCCGCACAGCGCCACGAGCGUGGCUGCAUCGUGUUUAUUUGCACGACGAGUAGCCUCGUGGAUGGACGUGUAUAACUUCCACGCCCGUAUACACGUUCCACUGGGAGGCAUUUUUCUGCUAGCAACGUGUAUAUUUACCAUCCACCUCUAUAUACACCAUCCACUAGAGAUGCUCUAAGAGCAUCUCUAGUGGAACGUGUAAAUUUGGACGUGUAUAUCUUCAUAUACACGUCCAUAUACACCUUGUUAAAUUUUACACCUUUCAGUUUUUGAGUGGAACGUGUAUACAUGACGUGGGAAUCAGGACGUGUAUAUUCCAACGGCUAUAUUUUCAAACGGCUAUAUUUUCAACUAGGAUAAAGCAUCAAAUAGUUCUUACAACAACUAAGAUAAAUUAUCAAAUAGUUCUUACAACAACUAGGAUAAAGCAUCAAAUAGUUCUUACAACAAUUAGGACAAAGCAUCAAAUAGUUCUUACAACAACUAGGAUAAAGCAUCAAAUAGUUCUUACUCUAGGCGACGAGCAAGGAUCUCAUUCUGCUUAGCUUGGUAGAACUGCUUUUGCAUAUCAGUCAUACCACAAGUGUCUAUGAGCAUGACCCUCUCAUCUAAUUCAAACUGUCUCCGUGCAUCCUCCCUCUCGUUUCGUGCAUCCUCCUUUUUCAGCGCAAUCUCCUUUUUUCGCAAUUCAAAUUGCUGUGCAUAGCGAUCAUUUUUUGCCGCCUCUUUGAUGUCAUCCUUCUCUUGCUUUGCUGCCCACACAGUUUCUAAUGACAACUUGCAAGCACUGUCAUCAGCUUUACCUUUCCGCAGUUUGUCCUUCACACCAUCAGGUCUUUGCUAAUGUUCAAGAGCAUCCCUGUGUAUCGAGGUAGCAUCAGUGCGUACUGAGGAUGCAUCAGCUAGAUCAUUGGUGAAUGUGCCCGGACUUGCACCUACAGUCUUCUUUUGUUUCUUACGAGAAGUUUCAAGUUCUUUUGUCUGCCACUUUGGAUACUUCGAAAGCUCGACAUAGCAAUGCAUCAAUGUGAAAGGCUUCUUCUUUUUAAGAUCCAUUUCCUUGAACAUAAUGUGUGCAUCGUUUGUCUGCACAUACAAAUGUAUUGUGAAAAUCUGCACAUCACAUAUAGAAUAUUGCACAACACAUAUAGAAGUACAAGAUAGACACAUACCUUUUCUUCUAUAGUCCUUCCGCUUUCUUCCCUAUUUAAAAUCUGCUGAAGGCAACCACAAAAUCUAGCGGUAUCUUUGUUAAUCAAUGUGUAACGGCAAUUGAUUGCAUUAUCAUUACGCUCCGGCCAUGAUGACAUCUUGUGUGAGUUGUAGUACUCUAAAAUUCUAGCCCAAUAAGCAUCUCUGUUUUGAUCUGUCCCGACACUAUCCAAACUUGCAUUUCCCCAUGCUGCUAUCAAAAUCUUGUCCUCCUCACUAGACCAAUUUUUUCCUUUGUUGGAUUUUGCUUUCUCUGUUAUUGGUGUUGCUUGAUGUUGAGUUGAUGGGGUUGGUUGCUCUUCAAUUGGACUUUCUAGUUGUGUUUGUGUGUAACCAAAACCCAUGGUGUCCAAGAAGCUUUCAUCACCAUCCAUCUGCAAACAAUCAACAAAUACACACAUGAAUCAACAAAUAUGUUAGCAAAUCAAUAUAAUUUUGGUAGUAGUUUCAGAAUUUUUCCCUACAGAGCUCUCUCCCUCCAGCCUCCGCCCCACCCCAGCCCUCCCCACCGAGCUCUCUCCCUCCAGCCCCUCUUUCCCNNNNNNNNNNNNNNNNNNNNNNNNNNNNNNNNNNNNNNNNNNNNNNNNNNNNNNNNNNNNNNNNNNNNNNNNNNNNNNNNNNNNNNNNNNNNNNNNNNNNNNNNNNNNNNNNNNNNNNNNNNNNNNNNNNNNNNNNNNNNNNNNNNNNNNNNNNNNNNNNNNNNNNNNNNNNNNNNNNNNNNNNNNNNNNNNNNNNNNNNNNNNNNNNNNNNNNNNNNNNNNNNNNNNNNNNNNNNNNNNNNNNNNNNNNNNNNNNNNNNNNNNNNNNNNNNNNNNNNNNNNNNNNNNNNNNNNNNNNNNNNNNNNNNNNNNNNNNNNNNNNNNNNNNNNNNNNNNNNNNNNNNNNNNNNNNNNNNNNNNNNNNNNNNNNNNNNNNNNNNNNNNNNNNNNNNNNNNNNNNNNNNNNNNNNNNNNNNNNNNNNNNNNNNNNNNNNNNNNNNNNNNNNNNNNNNNNNNNNNNNNNNNNNNNNNNNNNNNNNNNNNNNNNNNNNNNNNNNNNNNNNNNNNNNNNNNNNNNNNNNNNNNNNNNNNNNNNNNNNNNNNNNNNNNNNNNNNNNNNNNNNNNNNNNNNNNNNNNNNNNNNNNNNNNNNNNNNNNNNNNNNNNNNNNNNNNNNNNNNNNNNNNNNNNNNNNNNNNNNNNNNNNNNNNNNNNNNNNNNNNNNNNNNNNNNNNNNNNNNNNNNNNNNNNNNNNNNNNNNNNNNNNNNNNNNNNNNNNNNNNNNNNNNNNNNNNNNNNNNNNNNNNNNNNNNNNNNNNNNNNNNNNNNNNNNNNNNNNNNNNNNNNNNNNNNNNNNNNNNNNNNNNNNNNNNNNNNNNNNNNNNNNNNNNNNNNNNNNNNNNNNNNNNNNNNNNNNNNNNNNNNNNNNNNNNNNNNNNNNNNNNNNNNNNNNNNNNNNNNNNNNNNNNNNNNNNNNNNNNNNNNNNNNNNNNNNNNNNNNNNNNNNNNNNNNNNNNNNNNNNNNNNNNNNNNNNNNNNNNNNNNNNNNNNNNNNNNNNNNNNNNNNNUUCAGCAGCGGCCCCAGCCCCUCUCUCCCCGCCCUCCCCUCUCCAUGGCGCGCGCCGCCGCCGCCAGAUCCGCCGCCGCCAGAUCUGGCCAGCGGUGUGGAGGCCGCCCGACGUCCCGCGCCUCCUCUCUACCGACGGGAAUGGAAAAUAGAAGGGAGAGAGAGAGCUUACCAGAGGGGAGUGGUCGCCGGCGAGCUUCGAUGGCCUGUGGACGGAGGCGGGAGGAUGGCGGGAGCAGCUCGUUUCUGUCUUCCACGAGCGUGGCCCAGGCGUGUUUAUUUCCACGAGGAGUAGCCUCGUGGGUGGACGUGUAAAACUUACACGCCAGUAUACACGAUCCACUGGGAAGCGUUUUUCAGUUUGCAUCGUGUAUAUUUACCAUCCACCUCCAUAUACACCAUCCACUAGAGAUGCUCUAAAGAUGCUACCAACUCUAGAAUCUGAAUCAAUGAGCUCACAGAGGAGAGUCAAGAAUUUGAGGAGUGGAGGGAAUCCAAACACGCUCUAAAGAUACUAGGAAUUCUAAAACCUAAAUUAAUGAGCUAGCACGUGAGCUGAACCAGCACUUAAACUCAGUUGCGUGCUCCACUCAGUAGCUUUACCCAUAUCUCUUUUAUUAAAGAAGACUUGCCACGUCCGUCCGCUUCCAUCACUUCCAUCCCUACGUUGUUUUUAUUUUCUCUCCAAGCAACCUAUUUGAAAUAAUUUAAAUCAAACCGAUUCUUUCAUUUCCUUGCCCUACUCAUUCCCUAAUAAAUAAAUAAAUAACGCACACAUAGUAACUCGGAGUAAUUUAGAUCAAAUCGGUACUUCUCUUUUCUUGUCCUACUCAUUCUCUCCCUCAAUUUGCUUACUGUUUUUUCAGUCGUGACUAUUCCGAAUGAGGAUCUUGCAGUAAUAUGUAAACUAAUCCUUGAUUCACAUGAAGCAUUUAUGUCAUUAUUACACUAAAUAUUUUUUGUAAAUGUAGUAAUAUUUUAUUACUGUCUUGUGAUGAUAUUGGAUUUUGAAGACGGUGAUGAUGGGUGAACGUAUAUAUGAGUCAUGUGUUGAACCACUAGAAUAUGUAUGCCCCUUUUACAAUGCACAUGCAGUUAGUUAGCGCGUCUAAAGUAAAAGAAGAAGACUGUGCAAAGGGCAUGUACAAUGGCAGGCAUGAUAACCAUCUCUCGAGUAAAAGAGAAGAUUCGGUGUACCCAUACUUAUUCGGAAUCCUCGAAGGGUACAAAAAAUAAGUGAGGCACGAGCUCAUAUCUGUACUUACCACAUAACAAAAUCGUACCAUGUAAAAUUGUUUCAUUGCCCCUAUAUGAAGAGGGGGUUAUAAAUUAUCUCUCGGACCUUUCCCUAUUUGAUACAUGUCAACAUAGGUGUCAAAAGGAAUCAUGGUAGCACAUAAUGAAUUUUGAAACAGCUUAGUAUUUCUUUGAUCGCAGUCACACUUCAUAUCUCUUUCGGCAAUCUAGUUCUACUUACUCUAAUCUUGGACUGCUAAUCAUGCCAAUUAGCCGUCCUCCGUUGGGCACAAUGCUGAUUUGGAAUGAGUGGCAUCGGAAAAUAAACUAGGCCCGGUCAAUACAAGCGUGCGACUACAAGUUUGUCUGGUCCACUUUUGCUGCUACUCCCUCUGGUUCCUAAAACAACGCUUCAAGCUUUGUGGCUAUCAUCUUCAAAAAUAAUGCGUCUGGUUACCUCAGGUUACCUCAUCCAAUGAGCAGGCAUGCCCUGUUUCUGAGAUCCGAGGGAGUAAGCGGCGGAGGACGUGAGGCCUCUUUCCGUGAGUCACUGUAGUGUUUACUAUAGUUACAGUGCUACACCGCACCAAGGCUGCCUGGGUCGGUCUGGGUCUUUGCUUGACCCUUGCACCACCACUGGAAGUAACAAUUAGUCUGAUCUUAUUUUUCAUUGUUAGUUCAGCAACACACAUACGUACUAUGUUUUCUUGUGGCCAUCAGUGACCAUGUUUACAUGUUUAACCACUCUUUGUUGCCUGCACUGAAGAAAGUGAAAAGAACCUUUGGGUUCCUUUGCAUCCCCAAAAUUCUAAAGUACCGCAGGAGUGCUAGUGUAUUUUCCUCUUGUUCUUGGUGUUUCUCCUGUAAGUUGAAACAACCGGUGACUCGUGAAGAAUGAAAGAAAGAGACCAUCAAGGUGAAAAAGAUGUAACUGGCCUCAGUUUACACCGAGGACAAUAAGGUUAGUUGUAAUGGAAGUAUCAUAGAUAGUACUAUAUAUGUCAACUAGACAAUUUUGAUGAGGUGACAUAGAAUUAAAUGAAGAAAGAGAUGGUUUAAUAUCAUAUUAUGAUACCGUAUCAUAUUAAAUAUUGUGUUACUAUACGUCAUGCAUGACAAUAAAUAAAUUAUUUUAUAAUACUAACAUAUGAUACUAUGCAUUAUCCUACAAUAGUAUCAUAUGAUACUAUCCGCAUACAUUUAAAACAUCUUUUAGACCAACAAGACGAAUUACAUGCAAGAUGGAUGAUUUUUAUAUAAAACCAGACAAAAACAUUUACAUUUUUGGCAUAUUUUAACUAAACUAUACAGUGGUCCGGUAAACCUAGUCCACGGCCGACUGCGAAUGAACAUCAUUCCCACGACAUGAAUUCCCCUUGUCCAACAACUGCUCAUCAGAUCGACGGAUGCCAUGAAGGGAUAUGCUUCAGUGAGAGGAAAAUAAUAGCCUCCAUCCGUUUCCAUGAAGCACGGAUCAGAGUUGAUAUUGGGCGGGGAAGACGGCCGCCAUAGUCUAUGCCUUCGCUUACUAGGAAGACACCGGCUGUGUAACCCAGCGAUGUGAUGGCAGUAGCUUUCGUGGGACCCAAGUGACGGCGGCUUACCUUGAUUUUCUUUCAUCGCUGUCUAAGGUACGGUGACCGCGGGCGUACCAACGUCCGCCGACAUGGCUUCUUUCCCCACCCGCAUGACAUGCUGCCAACAUAGAUCAUGACGGAUUUAAUGAGAGACUUUGUUAUCCAGCCUAGAUGGGGGAGGAGGGGGUGUCAAUGGCGAUGGUGGUGGCCCGAGACCCAAGCCAACCUGAACCGGGCAACACAUGCAGCUGCAAUGAUGGGAAACUCAUUCUAUUCGUCGCAGGGCAUGUGGGGUUUUGUGGAUGGAGGAGAUGGAGAGCGGAGGUGAGGUGUGCUUCUUGACUGACGCCUGGACACGUUUAUAUAGCGGGCGAAUGCAAAAAUUUAGCUGCACAGGUGUUUAAUGCUCGUCGGAACAUGAACAAACAUGUGGUGCUGAGGGCGCCGGAGUAGGUUUCUUGGCACACAUGUCGGUUUAAAGGAGGUAGGCAAGCAGACGGAUCCUGUUUCAGUGCAGAGAGAAGGUGUGAACAUCCGGCGAUCAAUGGGUGGUGCUCUCGAGUGGCGAGCCACAUUCAUGUCGGCUCGAGUGAGUGGCCGCGUCCGCUCUGGGCCAGCAUGAAUGCGAGCAUCUAGCAUUGGGCGGGAGCACGAGAGGGCAUGGGAAAUGUGACUGUGAUGGGCCAGGUUAGUCAGAUGCACGCGUGGUAGUGGUCUAGACGCCUGCACCCCCUUCAAGUUUGUUUCUGGUUGGAUGGCAAAAGAGAGCGUCUGGACUGCCAAACAGGCCAAUGUAGACCCGUGUUGGAUGGCAAAACACAUCUAGACCAUCGAACACAUCAACGUAGACCCGCGUUGGACGGCCAAACACAUCCACACCGCGCGAUCCGGACUGUUAUGGAUGGUUUGAGGGUCAGCGUUAAAGAUGUUUUUACUAGUCAAAGUUACAUCCCACUAUGACCAGGCUGACAAAAAUGUAACGGGGCCUAGUCACUGUGUGUUUAUAUUGUGUUGUUAUGUGGUUUCAUUUUCAUGAUGAAACUGGAGCGAGGCCACCCUCUAUUUUCCUUAAAAUAUAAUGUACUCCCUCCUAAAGAAAUAUAAGAGCGUUUAGAUCACUAGUUUAAUGAUCUAAAUGUUCUUAUAUUCCUUUAUAGAGGGAGUAUAACAUAUGAUGCGGAAAUGCAAGAAAAGUUUGAUGUUUAUUGUGUUGAGCUGCAUCAACUAUUUACGCUGUCUAGAUUGAUCAAAGACCUAGAUCUAAUUUAGCUUGAUCAAUAUGAGUCAACAACAGAUAUGAUUGGAGGGGCCGCAUGAUCUGCUUAAGGAAGCCAUUGGAAGACAACAUGGCAAACAGAGGUAGCCUUCAUAGUCAGGUCUGCAACCAAUGCUAAUGAUCAAACGACAACGAAAGAUGGGGCAAAAAUAUGUUACAAUGGCGACCUACAUGGUUAGGUUUUCUUGUACUCCCACCCACGCUGCCGCCGUUCCUCCCCGACUUCGAUGGUCUUUGGGCCAUGGAUGUGCACCCCUAGAGGGAUGAACCCCUCUCCCAUUCUUGUUAGGUUGAACGUCUUGGUUGGGGCUGUGUGGCAGCGGCGAUGCCCCUUGGUAGGAAUAAUGUUUCCCAUAUGCGAUCCCCGCACUGGUGUUUCUAGCAUCGUCGGAGGGUAUAUGGAGGUGUGUCUCCAUCAGAUCUUGUUGGAUUCGGUUGGUGCUGGUCUUUGUUAGUUCUUUUUCAUACAAUCUUUAUCCGUGUGUUUAUAUGUUUUAUCCUUUUGAUCCACGACUCUCUUCAUCAACGUAUGUUGCCGCUUUGUUGCCCUGGUCCCGUGGGGACUUAACACCAACUUUUCAGUUGUCUAUUACAAUAAGAUUUACCUAACUCUAGUGAGGUGGGGGAGGGAGUGAUGAUGAUGGCAUGCCUUUGGCACGAUAGUCAUCCCUAGGUGGUACGUAUAUGGACCUGAUUAAAUUUUUAGUUACCUCUAGUCUUCUGUGUACUAUCCUGAUUGAUCAUCAAUAGGUUGGCAGUUUGUCCAGUAUAAAAUAAAAUCAAAGACCAAGAAAAAUUUGGGGUAAAACACUUUUCCUUUGUAAACAGUACUCAAUGCAUUUUUCGGAUGGAGUUUGAAAUUGGCUCCUUCUCUCGUGAUGGCACGUGUGACUUUGCAAGCUUGCUCAACCCACUCAGCGCAUAGGCGACAACUGCUGUCCUCGCCUUCACUUCUCCAUCAGAAGGCACAAUCGCCCCUCCUUCACCCCCGACCUCCCUUGCUUUCUGAUGACCCACAAGUAUAGGGGAUCAAUCGUAGUCCUUUCGAUAAGUAAGAUUGUCGAACCCAACGAGGAGCAGAAGGCUCUGAUAAACGGAUUUCAGCAAGGUAAUAACUGCAAGCACUGAAAGUAGCGGUAACAAGUGAUUGUGUAGCGAGGUGAAACAUAGCAAGCAAAGAGUAACAAGUAACAAGUAGUAGCAACGGUGCAGCAAGUGGCCCAAUCCCUUUUGUAGCAAGGGACAAGCCUGAACAAAGUCUUAUAGGAGGAAAAACGCUCCCGAGGACACACGGGAAUUUCUGUCAUGCUAGUUUCAUCAUAUUCAUAUGAUUCGCGUUUGUUACUUUGAUAGUUUGAUAUGUGGGUGGACCGGCGCUUGGGUACUGCUCUUACUUGGACAAGCAUCCCACUUAUGAUUAACCUCUCUCGCAAGCAUCCUCAACUACAAAAUAAGAAUUAAGACAAAGUCUAACCAUAGCAUUAAACUAGUGGAUCCAAAUCAGCCCCUCACGAAGCUACGCAUAGACUGGGGUUUAAGCUUCUGUCACUCCAGCAACCCAUUGUCUACUUACUACUUACCAAUGCCUUCCUCUAGGCCCAAAUAUGGUGAAGUGUUAUGUAGUCGACGUUCACAUAACACCACUAGAGUAAAAACAACAUACAACAUAUCAAAAUACCGAACGAAUAUCAAAUUCACAUGACUAUUAUUAACAUGACUUAUCCCAUGUCCUCAGGAACAAAAGUAACUACUCACAAAACAUAAUCAUAAUCAUGAUCAGAGGUGUAAUGAAUAGCAUCAAGGAUCUGAACAUAAACUCUUCCACCAAGUAAUCCAACUAGCAUCAACUACAAAGAGUAAUCAACACUACUAGCAACCUUACGAGUACCAAUCGGAGUCGCGAGACGAAGAUUGGUUACAAGAGAUGAACUAGGGAUUGGAGAGGAGAUGGUGCUGAUGAAGAUGCUGAUGAUGAUGCCUCCCCUCCGACGAGAGGAGUGUUGGUGAUGACGAUGGCGACGGUUCCCCCCUCCGGGAGGGAAGUUUCCCCGGCAGGAUCGUCCUGCCGGAGCUCUAGAUUGGAUCUGCUCAAGUUCCGCCUCAUGACGGCGGCGAAACCACUAAAAAGCUCCCUAUUGAUUUUUUUCUAGACCAGGACGCUUCAUAUAGCAAAAGAGGGGGGGGGGGCUAGUGGGCCGUCAGGCAGCCCACAAGCCUGCCCUGCGCCACCAGGGGGGUGGUGGCGGUGGGCAAGCUUGUGGAGCCCUGGUGGCCCCCCUCCGGUAGUUCUUCGCCCAGUAUUUUUUAUAUAAUCCAGAAAAAAUCCACGUAACUUUUCNNNNNNNNNNNNNNNNNNNNNNNNNNNNNNNNNNNNNNNNNNNNNNNNNNNNNNNNNNNNNNNNNNNNNNNNNNNNNNNNNNNNNNNNNNNNNNNNNNNNNNNNNNNNNNNNNNNNNNNNNNNNNNNNNNNNNNNNNNNNNNNNNNNNNNNNNNNNNNNNNNNNNNNNNNNNNNNNNNNNNNNNNNNNNNNNNNNNNNNNNNNNNNNNNNNNNNNNNNNNNNNNNNNNNNNNNNNNNNNNNNNNNNNNNNNNNNNNNNNNNNNNNNNNNNNNNNNNNNNNNNNNNNNNNNNNNNNNNNNNNNNNNNNNNNNNNNNNNNNNNNNNNNNNNNNNNNNNNNNNNNNNNNNNNNNNNNNNNNNNNNNNNNNNNNNNNNNNNNNNNNNNNNNNNNNNNNNNNNNNNNNNNNNNAUAACACCACUAGAGUAAAAACAACAUACAACAUAUCAAAAUACCGAACGAAUAUCAAAUUCACAUGACUAUUAUUAACAUGACUUAUCCCAUGUCCUCAGGAACAAAAGUAACUACUCACAAAACAUAAUCAUAAUCAUGAUCAGAGGUGUAAUGAAUAGCAUCAAGGAUCUGAACAUAAACUCUUCCACCAAGUAAUCCAACUAGCAUCAACUACAAAGAGUAAUCAACACUACUAGCAACCUUACGAGUACCAAUCGGAGUCGCGAGACGAAGAUUGGUUACAAGAGAUGAACUAGGGAUUGGAGAGGAGAUGGUGCUGAUGAAGAUGCUGAUGAUGAUGCCUCCCCUCCGACGAGAGGAGUGUUGGUGAUGACGAUGGCGACGGUUCCCCCCUCCGGGAGGGAAGUUUCCCCGGCAGGAUCGUCCUGCCGGAGCUCUAGAUUGGAUCUGCUCAAGUUCCGCCUCAUGACGGCGGCGAAACCACUAAAAAGCUCCCUAUUGAUUUUUUUCUAGACCAGGACGCUUCAUAUAGCAAAAGAGGGGGGGGGGGCUAGUGGGCCGUCAGGCAGCCCACAAGCCUGCCCUGCGCCACCAGGGGGGUGGUGGCGGUGGGCAAGCUUGUGGAGCCCUGGUGGCCCCCCUCCGGUAGUUCUUCGCCCAGUAUUUUUUAUAUAAUCCAGAAAAAAUCCACGUAACUUUUCAGGGUAUUUGGAGAUGUGCAGAAUAGUGGACUAGGAUUUGCUCCUUUUCCAGUCCAGAAUUUCAGCUGCCUGAAUUCUCCUCUUCAAAUAAACCUUGCAAAAUAAGAGAGAAAAGGCAUAAAUAUGGUACCACAAGUAAUAUAACAGCCCCAAAAGCAAUAAAUAUCAACAUGAAAGCAUGAUGCAAAAUGGACGUAUCAACUCCCCCAAGCUUAGACCUCGCUUGUCCUGAAGCGAAAACGAAGAUCCAUAAACAUGUCCACAUGUUGAGGGACAAAGGUGUCGAUAAAACAUAAUACAGACAUGAGGGCAUCAUGAUCGCACAUAGAACAACAAUACAUCAUAAAGAUUCUUAUGGGAAAGUAACAAUUCCUUUACAAAGCAAAGCAUGAAGCAAAAACCUUACCGUGAAGUAACCAACAAUAGUCCAUAGUCAUUGAAACAAUUGCAAUUUAUCACAACAUCACAAAGAGUCAAAUAAGAGCUUGUAAGGCAAACCCACAUACUCAAUCAUCUCUUUCAUUUUCCACAAUUGUUACAACUCACGUGGUACUCAUGGUGUCAAAGUUUCAGCUGGACACAGAGGAAGAUAGGGGCUUAUAGUUUUGCCUCCCAACGGUUUACCUCAAGGAUAAAGUCAACAAUAAUAAAGCAUGAGUACUCAACUCCAAGUUGAUAUAUGAAUAUAGAUCUUUCCCAAGCAUGUGACGGUAGCCAAGACAAAGGCAAAAAGGGAAUUGGUGAAGAUCACCAUGACUCUUCCAAGGGUAAAAAGUAAAGGUACAAGAUAGGCCCUUCGUAGAGGGAAGCAGAGGUUGUCAUGCGCUUUUGAGGUUUGAAUGCGUGUCUUCUUAGUGCGGAGGAACGUCACUUUAUAUUGCCUCCUGUGAUAAAGAACUUUAUUAUACAGUCUGUCGCUUUUAUGUCUUCCUCAUCACAGGUUCGUACAAAGCUUAUUUUCCACACACUAAUAGAUCAUACAUAUUAGAGAGCAAUGUUUAUUGCUUGCACCGAUGACAACUUACUUGAAGGAUCUUAUUCAAUCCAUAGGUAGGUAUGAUGGACUCUCAUGGCAAAACUGGUUGGAGGUUUAUGGAUGCACAAGUAGUAUCUCUACUUGGUGCGGGAGUUUUGGCUAAUAUGAGGUGGAAGCAAUCGUCACAUGCUAAGGGAUCUCUAAUCAUAUAACAUUGUUUGGAACCAAGCAAACACAAUUCAUUAUAUUGUCUUCCUUGUCCAACAUCUACUCCUAGGCAUGUAAUAGUUUGGUGAGUGCCCACAAUUGUAAAAAGUGUCUAAGAUGAUAUAUUUAUAUGUGAACCUCUCUUUCCUUAUUACUUCUUAUUAAUUGCAACAAUGACUGAGGUCUAUGUUGAUUUAUUAUCAACAAGUUUCAAUCAUCAUAUGUGUCAUAAGUGAAGUUAUCACUUUCCAUAAGAUCAUCUCAUGAUCUUUCAUGCUAUCGUUCUUUUCAUAUUUUUUAAUCAUGGCACAAAGCAAAGCCCUUAACUAAGACACUCUUUAUUAUAUAGCUCGUAAGCUCGAAUACAUCGGGGGAGAGACAAAAGCAAAAGACUCAAACUAAAAACUAAAGACUUAUUCCUCUAAAAGAAGAAAUAAAAACUGAAAAGGAAAGAACUAAAACAAAGGUAAAAGCAAAAGAUAUAAAGGUGAUACGAUACCAGGGCAACUCCCCCAAGCUUGGCAGAAGCCAAGGGGAUUGCCCAUAGCAAUGCUUAGUUGUCUUCCUUUGGUGGUGAUGGUGGUGUGGUGUUGUUGGAGCAGUCUUGAGCUUGUCUAAUUUCCACUUGAGCAAAAAGUUCUGCUCCCUUAGAUCGUCAUUUUCCUCCUCAAGUUUCAAAACUCUAUGGCAAAGCUCCUAUUUACUCUCCGAAAUAGAUACAUCUUCGUUUUCAAGGUCUGAAACAGGCUGAUAAACAUCCCUUAUGUACUCCACUGGAGUCAUGACAUUGAUGAUAUGGUCUCAACAUUUAUGGGAGUAACGUAGAUGUAAUGCUUGAUUCUUUGCCCAUUUACCACUCUAGGAAAAUUUCCUUUCGUGUUAUUGAUUUUGAUGGCACCGGAACAAUAUACUUCCCCGACAACAUAGGGACCUUCCCAUUUAGAGAGAAGCUUGCCUGCAAUGAAUCUCAAACGAGAAUUGUAUAGCAAGACAUAAUCACCUACAUUGAACUCUCGUUUCUGUAUUCGUUUGUCGUGCCAUCUCUUAACCUUUUCCUUGAACAACUUGGCAUUCUCAUAUGCCUGGGCUCUCCAUUCAUCUAACGAGCUGAUAUCAAACAACCGCUUCUCACCGACAAGUUUGAAAUCAAAGUUGAGCUCUUUGAUUGCCCAAUAAGCUUUGUGUUCUAGCUCAAGAGGUAAAUGACAGGCCUUACCGUAAACCAUUUUAUACGGUGACAUGCCCAUGGGAUUCUUAUAAGCAGUCCUAUAAGCCCAUAGUGCAUCGUCAAGUUUGCUAGACCAGUUCUUUCGAGAUCUAUUGACGGUCUUUUGUAGGAUCAACUUGAUCUCCCUAUUACUCAACUCCACUUGACCACUAGACUGAGGAUGAUAAGGAGAUGCAACUCUAUGGUUGACAUCAUACUUAGCUAGCAUCUUGCGGAAAACACCAUGAAUGAAGUGUGAACCGCCAUCAGUAAUCAAGUAUCUAGGGACUCCAAAUCUUGGGAAUAUGACUUCUUUAAGCAUCUUAAUACAGGUGUGGUGAUCAACAUUUUUAGUGGGGAUAGCCUCUACCCACUUAGUGUUGGGGAACGUCGCAAGGGAAACAAAAAAUUUCCUACGCGCACGAAGACCUAUCAUGGUGAUGUCCAUCUACGAGAGGGGAUGAGUGAUCUACGUACCCUUGUAGAUCGUACAGCAGAAGCGUUAGUGAACGCGGUUGAUGUAGUGGAACGUCCUCACGUCCCUCGAUCCGCCCGGCGAACAAUCCCGCGAUCAGUCCCACGAUCUAGUACCGAACGGACGGCACCUCCGCGUUCAGCACACGUACAGCUCGACGAUGAUCUCGGCCUUCUUGAUCCAGCAAGAGAGACGGAGAGGUAGAAGAGUUCUCCGGCAGCGUGACCGCUCUCCGGAGGUUGGUGAUGAUCUUGUCUCAGCAGGGCUCCGCCCGAGCUCCGCAGAAACGCGAUCUAGAGGAAAAACUAUGGAGGUAUGUGGUCGGGCAGCCGUGAGAAAGUCGUCUCAAAUCAGCCCUAAAACCUCCGUAUAUAUAGGUGGGAGGGAGGGGAGGAGGCAGCCUCAAAACCUAAAGGUUUGGCCGAAAUUGGAGGUGGAGGAGUCCUACUCCAAUCCUACUUGGAGUAGGAUUCCACCUUCCCACUUGGAAACUCUUUCCACCUUGUGUUUUUUCCUUCUCAAACCUUAUGGGCCUUAGUGGGAACUUAUUCCAGCCCACUAGGGGCUGGUUUAUCUCUUCCCAUAGCCCAUGAGACCCCUUGGGGCGUGACACCCCUCCCGAUGGUCCCCGGCACCCCUCCCGGCACUCCCGGUACACUACCGAUGAGCCCGAAACUUUUCCGGUAAUGCACGAAAACCUUCCGGUAACCAAAUGAGGUCAUCCUAUAUAUCAAUCUUCGUUUCCGGACCAUUCCGGAAACCCUCGUGACGUCCGUGAUCUCAUCCGGGACUCCGAACAACAUUCGGUAACCAACCAUAUAACUCAAAUACGCAUAAAACAACGUCGAACCUUAAGUGUGCAGACCCUGCGGGUUCGAGAACUAUGUAGACAUGACCCGAGAGACUCCUCGGUCAAUAUCCAAUAGCGGGACCUGGAUGCCCAUAUUGGAUCCUACAUAUUCUACGAAGAUCUUAUCGUUUGAACCUCAGUGCCAAGGAUUCAUAUAAUCCCGUAUGUCAUUCCCUUUAUCCUUCGGUAUGUUACUUGCCCGAGAUUCGAUCGUCAGUAUCCGUAUACCUAUUUCAAUCUCGUUUACUGGCAAGUCUCUUUACUCGUUCCGUAAUACAAGAUCCCGCAACUUACACUAAGUUACAUUGCUUGCAAGGCUUGUGUGUGAUGUUGUAUUACCGAGUGGGCCCCGAGAUACCUCUCCGUUCACACGGAGUGACAAAUCCCAGUCUUGAUCCAUACUAACUCAACUAACACCUUCGGAGAUACCUGUAGAGCAUCUUUAUAGUCACCCAGUUACGUUGCGACGUUUGAUACACACAAAGCAUUCCUCCGGUGUCAGUGAGUUAUGUGAUCUCAUGGUCAUAGGAAUAAAUACUUGACACGCAGAAAACAGUAGCAACAAAAUGACACGAUCAACAUGCUACGUCUAUUAGUUUGGGUCUAGUCCAUCACAUGAUUCUCCUAAUGAUGUGAUCCCGUUAUCAAGUGACAACACUUGCCUAUGGCCAGGAAACCUUGACCAUCUUUGAUUAACGAGCUAGUCAACUAGAGGCUUACUAGGGACAGUGUUUUGUCUAUGUAUCCACACAAGUAUUGUGUUUCCAAUCAAUACAAUUAUAGCAUGGAUAAUAAAUUAUUAUCAUGAACUAAGAAAUAUAAUAAUAACUAAUUUAUUAUUGCCUCUAGGGCAUAUUUCCAACAGUCUCCCACUUGCACUAGAGUCAAUAAUCUAGUUCACAUCACCAUGUGAUUCCAACGAAUCCAACACCCAUAUAGUUAUGGGGUCUAUCACGUCUUGCUCGUGAGAGAGGUUUUAGUCAACGGUUCUGAAACUUUCAGAUUCGUGCAUUCUUUACAAAUCUUUAUGUCAUCUUAUAGAUGCUGCUACUACGUGCUAUUCGGAAAUGGUCCAAAUAUCUACUCUACUAUACGAAUCCGUUUCACUACUCAUAGUUAUCCGGAUUAGUGUCAAAGCUUGCAUUGACGUAACCCUUUACGACAAACUCUUUAACCACCUCCAUAAUCGAGAAAAAUUCCUUAGUCCAUUAGUUACUAAGGAUAAAUUUCGACCGCUGCUAGUGAUUCAAUCAUGGAUCACUCUCUGUACCUCUCAACAUACUUUGAGUCAAGGCACACUUCAGGUGCGGUACACAGCAUGGCAUACUUUAGAUUCUAUGGCUAAGGCAUAGAAGACGACCUUCGUCUAUUCUCUUUAUUCUGCCGUGGUCGGGUUUUGAGUCUUACUCAAAUUCACACCUCACAACGCAACCAAGAACUCCUUCUUUGCUGGUCUAUUUUGAACUCUUUCAAAAACUUGUCAAGGCAUGCAUCUUGUUUAAACUUCUAUUAAGCGCUUUCGAUCUAUCUCCAUAGAUCUUUGAUGCUCAACGUUCAAGUAGCGUAAUCCAGGUACUCCUUUGAAAACUUCUUUCAAACAACCUUGUAUGCUUUACAGAAAUUCUACAUUACUUCUGAUCCACAAUAUGUCAACCACAUAUACCUAUCAGAAAUUCUAUAGUGCUCCCACUCACUUCUUUGGAAAUACAAGUUUCUCAUAAACCUUGUACACACCCAAAAUCUUUGAUCAUCUCAUCAAAGUGUAUAUUCCAACUCCGAGAUGCUUGCACCAGUCCAUUGAAGGAUCACUGGAGCUUGCAUACUUGCUAGUAUCUUUAGGAUCGACAAAACCUUCUCGUUGUAUCACAUACAAUGUUUGCUCAAGGAAACCGUCGAGAAAACAAUGUUUUGACAUCCUACGUGCAAUAUUUCAUAAAUAAUGCAUCAACAACUAACAUAAUUCUAACAGACCUUUAGCAUCGCUACGAGUGAGAAAGUCUCAUCAUAGUCAACUGUUUGAUCUUGUCGAAAACAUCUUUGCGACAAGUCGAGCUUUUCUUAAUAGUGACUUGUCACCAUCAUCGUCUGUCUUCUUUUGAAGAUCCAUUUUACCCAAUAGUCCCAUGACCAUCAAGUAGUUCUACCAAAGUCUACACUUUGGUUUCACACAUGGAUCCUCUCUCGCAUUUCAUGGCUUCCAGCCAUUUGUCGGAAUCUGGGCCCACCAUCGCUUUCUCCAUAACUCGUAGGUUCACUGUUGCUCAACAACAUGACCUCCAAGACAGGGUUACCGUACUACUCUGCAGCAGUACGCGACCUUGUCGACCUACGAGGUUUGUAGUAACUUGAUUCGAAGCUCAAUGAUCACCAUCAUCAGCUUCCACUUCAAUUGGUGUAGGCGCCACAGGAACAACUUCCUACGCCCUGCUACACACUGGUUGAAGUGAUGGUUCAAUAACCUCAUAAAGUUCUACUACCCUCCCACUCAAUUCUUUCGAGAGAAACCUUUUCUCGAGAAAGGAUCCGUUUCUAGAAACAAACACUUUGCUUUCGGAUCUGAGAUAGGAGAUGUACCCAACUGUUUUGGAUAUCCUAUGAAGAUGCAUUUAUCCGCUUUGGGUUCGAGCUUAUCAGACUGAAACUUUUUCACAUAAGUGUCGAAGCCCCAAACUUUCAAGAAACGACAGUUUAGAUUUCUCUAAACCUCAGUCUAUACUGUGUCAUCUCAACGGAAAUACGCGGUGCCCUAUUUAAAGUGAAUGCGGUUGUCUCUAAUGCAUAACCCAUAAACGAUAGUGGUAAUUCGAUAAGAGACAUCACAGCAUGCACCAUACUAAAUAGUGCGUGGCUAUGACGUUCAGACACAUCAUCACACUAUGAUGUUCCAGGUGGCAUGAACUGUGAAACAAUUUCCACAUUGUCUUAACUGUGUACCAAAAACUCGUAACUCAGAUAUUCAUUUUUAUGAUCAUAUCGUAGACAGUUCAUCCUCUUGUUACGACGAACUUCACUCUGAAACGGAAUUGAACUUUUCAAUAUUUCAGACUUGUGAUUCAUUAAGUAAAUACUCCUGUAUCUACUCAAGUCGUCAGUGAAGUAAGAACAUAAUGAUAUCCACUGCGUGCCUCAGCACUCAUUGGACUGCAUACAUCAAAAUGUAUCACUUCCAACAAGUUACUAUCUUGUUUGAUCUCAAUGAAAACAAGGCCUUGCUCAUGUGGUAUGAUUUGCAUGUCACUAGUGAUUCGAAAUCAGGUGAGUAAAGAUCCAUCAGCAUGGAGCCUCUUCAUGCAAUUUAUACUAACAUGACUCAAGCGGCAGUGCCACAAGUAAGUGGUACUAUCAUCAUUAACUCGUAUCUUUUGGCACCAAUGUGUAACACUACAAUCGAGAUUCAAUAAACCAUUGAAGGUGAUUAUUCAAGCAAAUAGAGUAACCAUUAUUCUCUUUGAAUGAAUAAUCGUAUUGCAAUAAACACGAUCCAAUCAUGUUCAUGCCUAACGCAAGCACCAAAUAACAAUUAUUUAGGUUCAACACCAAUCCCGAUGGUAGAGGGAGCGUGCGACGUUUGAUCAUAUCAACCUUGGAAACACUUCCAACACUAUGUAUAUCAAAUAUACUUCUUUCGACUUUUGCCAGCCUUCUUAUCUACCAAGUAUCUAGAGUUGCUCCGCCUCAGUGACUGUUCCCCUUAUUACAGAAGCACUUAGUCUCGGGUUUGGGUUUAAUCUUGGGUCUCUUCAUUAGCGCAGCAACUGUUUUGCCGUUUCACGAAGUAUCCCUUCUAGCCCUCGCCUUUCUUGAAACUUAGUGGUUUUCCAAACCAUCAACUAUUGAUGCUCCUUCUUGAUUUCUACUUUCGCAGUGUCAAACGUCGCGAAUCGCUCAAGGAUCAUUGUAUCUAUCCUUGAUAUGUCAUAGUUCAUCACGAAGCUCUCAAAGCUUGGUGGCAGUGACUUUUGGAGAACCAUCACUAUCUCAUCUGGAAGAUUAGCUCCCACUUGAUUCAAGUGAUUGUCGUACUCAGACAAUCUGAGCACAUGCUCAACGAUUGAGCUUUUCUCCUUUACUUUGUGGUCAAAGAAUCUUGUUGGAGGUCUAGUACCUCUUAACAAGGGCACAAGCAUGAAAUCACAAUUGCAUCUCUUCGGAACAUCACUUAUGUUCCGUGACGUUUUACAACGUUUUCGGCGCCUUGCUUCUAAGCCAUCAAGUAUCUUGCACUGAACUAUCGUGUAGUCAUCAGUAAUGUGUAUGUCGGAUGUUCAUAGCAUCCACAGACGACGCUCGAGGUGCAGCACACCGAGUGGUGCAUUAAGGACAUAAGCCUUCUGCGCAGCAACGAGGACAAUCCUCGGUUUUACAGACUCAGUCUGCAAAGUUUGCUACUAUCAACUUUCAACUAAAUUUUCUCUAGGAACAUAUAAAACAGUAGAGCUAUAGCGCAAGCUACAUCGUAAUUCGCAAAGACCAUUAGACUAUGUUCAUGACAAUUAGUUCAGUUAAUCAUAUUACUUAAGAACUCCCACUCAAAAAGUACAUCUCUCUAGUCAUUUGAGUGGUACAUGAUCCAAAUCCACUAUCUCAAGUCCGAUCAUCACGUGAGUCGAGAAUAGUUUCAGUGGUAAGCAUCCCUAUGCUAAUCAUAUCAACUAUACGAUUCAUGCUCGACCUUUCGGUCUCAUGUGUUCCGAGGCCAUGUCUGCACAUGCUAGGCUCGUCAAGCUUAACCCGAGUGUUCUGCGUGUGCAACUGUUUUGCACCCGUUGUAUGUGAACGUUGAGUCUAUCACACCCGAUCAUCACGUGGUGUCUCGAAACGAAGAACUGUCGCAACGGUGCACAGUCGGGGAGAACACAACUUCGUCUUGAAAUUUUAGUGAGAGAUCACCUCAUAAUGCUACCGUCGUUCUAAGCAAAAUAAGGUGCAUAAAAGGAUUAACAUCACAUGCAAUUCAUAAGUGACAUGAUAUGGCCAUCAUCACGUGCUUCUUGAUCUCCAUCACCAAAGCACCGGCACGAUCUUCUUGUCACCGGCGCCACACCAUGAUCAUCCAUCAACGUGUUGCCAUCGUGGUUGUCGUGCUACUUAUGCUAUCACUACUAAAGCUACAGCCUAGCAAAAUAGUAAACGCAUCUGCAAGCACAUAUGUUAGUAUAAAGACAACCCUAUGGCUCCUGCCGGUUGCCGUACCAUCGACGUGCAAGUCGAUAUUUCUAUUACAACAUGAUCAUCUCAUACAUCCAAUAUAUCACAUCACAUCGUUGGCCACAUCAUAUCACAAUCAUACCCUGCAAAAACAAGUUAGACGUCCUCUAAUUUUGUUGUUGCAUGUUUUACGUGGUGACCAAGGGUAUCUAGUAGGAUCGCAUCUUACUUACGCAAACACCACAACGGAGAUAUAUGAGUUGCUAUUUAACCUCAUCCAAGGACCUCCUCGGUCAAAUCCGAUUCAACUAAAGUUGGAGAAACCGACACUUGCCAGUCAUCUUUGAGCAAAGGGGGUUACUCGUAACGAUGAAACCAGUCUCUCGUAAUCGUACGAGUAAUGUCGGUCCAAGCCGCUUCAAUCCAACAAUACCGCGGAAUCAAGAAAAGACUAAGGAGGGCAGCAAAACGCACAUCACCGCCCACAAAACCUUUUGUGUUCUACUGGAGAAGACAUCUACGCAUGAACCUAGCUCAUGAUGCCACUGUUGGGGAACGUCGCAAGGGAAACAAAAAAUUUCCUACGCGCACGAAGACCUAUCAUGGUGAUGUCCAUCUACGAGAGGGGAUGAGUGAUCUACGUACCCUUGUAGAUCGUACAGCAGAAGCGUUAGUGAACGCGGUUGAUGUAGUGGAACGUCCUCACGUCCCUCGAUCCGCCCUGCGAACAAUCCCGCGAUCAGUCCCACGAUCUAGUACCGAACGGACGGCACCUCCGCGUUCAGCACACGUACAGCUCGACGAUGAUCUCGGCCUUCUUGAUCCAGCAAGAGAGACGGAGAGGUAGAAGAGUUCUCCGGCAGCGUGACGGCGCUCCGGAGGUUGGUGAUGAUCUUGUCUCAGCAGGGCUCCGCCCGAGCUCCGCAGAAACGCGAUCUAGAGGAAAAACUAUGGAGGUAUGUGGUCGGGCAGCCGUGAGAAAGUCGUCUCAAAUCAGCCCUAAAACCUCCGUAUAUAUAGGUGGGAGGGAGGGGAGGAGGCAGCCUCAAAACCUAAAGGUUUGGCCGAAAUUGGAGGUGGAGGAGUCCUACUCCAAUCCUACUUGGAGUAGGAUUCCACCUUCCCACUUGGAAACUCUUUCCACCUUGUGUUUUUUCCUUCUCAAACCUUAUGGGCCUUAGUGGGAACUUAUUCCAGCCCACUAGGGGCUGGUUUAUCUCUUCCCAUAGCCCAUGAGACCCCUUGGGGCGUGACACCCCUCCCGAUGGUCCCCGGCACCCCUCCCGGCACUCCCGGUACACUACCGAUGAGCCCGAAACUUUUCCGGUAAUGCACGAAAACCUUCCGGUAACCAAAUGAGGUCAUCCUAUAUAUCAAUCUUCGUUUCCGGACCAUUCCGGAAACCCUCGUGACGUCCGUGAUCUCAUCCGGGACUCCGAACAACAUUCGGUAACCAACCAUAUAACUCAAAUACGCAUAAAACAACGUCGAACCUUAAGUGUGCAGACCCUGCGGGUUCGAGAACUAUGUAGACAUGACCCGAGAGACUCCUCGGUCAAUAUCCAAUAGCGGGACCUGGAUGCCCAUAUUGGAUCCUACAUAUUCUACGAAGAUCUUAUCGUUUGAACCUCAGUGCCAAGGAUUCAUAUAAUCCCGUAUGUCAUUCCCUUUGUCCUUCGGUAUGUUACUUGCCCGAGAUUCGAUCGUCAGUAUCCGUAUACCUAUUUCAAUCUCGUUUACUGGCAAGUCUCUUUACUCGUUCCGUAAUACAAGAUCCCGCAACUUACACUAAGUUACAUUGCUUGCAAGGCUUGUGUGUGAUGUUGUAUUACCGAGUGGGCCCCGAGAUACCUCUCCGUUCACACGGAGUGACAAAUCCCAGUCUUGAUCCAUACUAACUCAACUAACACCUUCGGAGAUACCUGUAGAGCAUCUUUAUAGUCACCGAGUUACGUUGCGACGUUUGAUACACAUAAAGCAUUCCUCCGGUGUCAGUGAGUUAUGUGAUCUCAUGGUCAUAGGAAUAAAUACUUGACACGCAGAAAACAGUAGCAACAAAAUGACACGAUCAACAUGCUACGUCUAUUAGUUUGGGUCUAGUCCAUCACAUGAUUCUCCUAAUGAUGUGAUCCCGUUAUCAAGUGACAACACUUGCCUAUGGCCAGGAAACCUUGACCAUCUUUGAUUAACGAGCUAGUCAACUAGAGGCUUACUAGGGACAGUGUUUUGUCUAUGUAUCCACACAAGUAUUGUGUUUCCAAUCAAUACAAUUAUAGCAUGGAUAAUAAACGAUUAUCAUGAACUAAGAAAUAUAAUAAUAACUAAUUUAUUAUUGCCUCUAGGGCAUAUUUCCAACACUUAGUAACGUAAUCCACAGCAACUAAGAUGUGAGUGUACCCACUGGAACUCGGGAAGGGUCCCAUAUAAUCAAAGCCCCAGACAUCAAAUGGUUCAAUGACAAGUGAAUAGUUCAUAGGCAUUUCCUGACGCUUACUGAUGUUCCCUAUUCUUUGGCAUUCGUCACAAGACAAGACAAACUUACGAGCAUCCUUGAAGAGAGUGGGCCAAUAGAAACCUGAUUGCAAUACCUUAUGGGCAGUUCUAUCUCCAGCGUGGUGUCCUCUGUAGGCUUCGAAAUGACACUUCUGCAAGAUCUGUCCCUGUUCAUGUUCACGCACACAACGUCUAAUAACACCAUCUACUCCUUCCUUAUAAAGGUGAGGAUCAUCCCAAAAGUAGUGUCUCAAAUCAAAGAAGAAUUUCUUCUUUUGCUGAUCGGUGAAACUGGGUGGUAUGUAUUUGGCUACGGUAUAGUUUGCAUAAUCGGCAUACCACGGUGCACUAUGUGAAGUGCGGAUGACAUUUAGUUGCUCAUCAGGAAAGCUGUCAUCAAUUGGUAGUGGGUCAUCAAGGACAUUCUCUAGCCUAGACAAGUUAUCUGCUACAGGGUUAUCAGCACCCUUUCGGUCAACGACGUGCAAAUCAAAUUCCUGUAGCAGGAGAACCCAUCUGAUCAGCCUAGGUUUAGCAUCCUUCUUCUCCAUAAGGUACUUAAUAGCAGCAUGAUCAGAGUGAAUAGUGACUUUGGAUUCAACUAUAUAAGAUCUGAACUUUUCACAUGCAAACACGACUGCUAAAAAUUCCUUCUCCGUAGUGGCAUAGUUUCUUUGGGCACUGUCUAGAGUUUUACUAGUGUAGUGAAUGACAUUCAACUUCUUGUCAACUCUUUGUCCUAGAAAAACACCACCAGCAUAAUCACUAGCGUCACACAUGAUUUCAAAGGGCAAGUUCCAGUCAGGUGGUUGAACAAUAGGCGCGGUUAUCAAAGCCUUCUUAAGUAUUUGAAAGGCUUCCUCACAAUCCUCAUCAAAAACAAAAGGAACAUCCUUCUACAAGAGGUUGUUAAGAGGCCUAGAAAUCUUAGAGAAGUCUUUAAUGAACCUUCUAUAGAAACCAGCAUGACCUAGGAAACUUCGUAUACCUCUGAUAUCUGUGGGGCAAGGCAUUUUCUCAAUUGCAUCAACCUUAGCCUUAUCAACUUCAAUGCCUCUUUCAGAGAUUUUGUGUCCUAAGACGAUACCUUCAUUAACCAUAAAGUGGCACUUCUCCCAAUCCAAGACGAGGUUGGUUUCUUCGCAUCUCUGUAAGACUCGAUCAAGGUUGCUGAGGCAAUCAUCAAAGGAAGACCCGUAAACGGAGAAGUCAUCCAUGAAAACCUCGACGAUCUUUUCACAAAAGUCAAAGAAUAUAGCCAUCAUACAUCAUAACCGUCUAGAAAACAGAAGUGUGUGUGUUUUGAUAGCGUUUCUAGCAUUUGGUCGAUGAACGGCAAAGGGUAAUGAUCUUUCCUAGUUGCCUUGUUCAGUUUCCGGAAGUCUAUCACCAUUCUAUAGCCGAUAAUAAUCCUUUGUGGGAUUAGUUCAUCCUUAUCAUUAGGAACGACGGUGAUACCUCCCUUCUUAGGUACGCAAUGUACUGGACUUACCCAAUCACUAUGAGCAACAGGAUAAAUGAUUCCUUCUUCCAGAAGCUUUAAUAUUUCUUUUCUACCGACCUCUUUCAUCUUAGGAUUUAAUCUCCUUUGAUGAUCAGCAACUGGUUUAAAGUCAGGAUCGGUUUUAAUCUUGUGCUGACAUAGAGUAGGACUAAUACCCUUAAGAUCAUCAAGAGUAUAUCCAAUAGAAGCGCGGUGCUUCCUCAGAGUUUUUAGUAACUUCUUCUCUUCGCGCUCUGAGAGGAGAGCACUAAUAAUGACAGGAUAUAUCUCCUUCUCAUCAAGAUAGGCAUACUUAAGAGUAUCAGGCAACUGUUUAAGCUCGAACACAGGAUCACCCUUUGGUGGGGGAGGAUCCCCAAGCAGUUCAACAAGCAGAUUAUUCUUAAGAAUAGGAUAUUGUUCUAAGACAAUUUUAUCUAUCUCAUCUCUCUCCUCCAUAUGCAUAUCAUUUUCAUGCUCAAGCAGAUAUUGCUCUAAAGGAUCCGUAGGAGGUACGACAAUAGAGGCAAGAGCAAUGAUUUCAUCUCUACCAGACGACUCUCUUUCAUGCGUUUGUCUUCCAAACUUGGAGAAGUUAAAUUCAUGAGACACACCCUCGAAACUUUCUCUGACAGUCUGCUUAAUGCAAUCAAUGUGAGCAUUGACAGUGUUGAGAAAGGGUCUACCAAAUAUGAUGGGACAAAAGCUAUCUUGUGCAGUACCAAGGACGAGGAAAUCAGUAGGAUACUUCGUCUUACCACACAUGACUUCUACGUCUCUCACAAUUCCCAGAGGGCAGAUAGUGUCUCUAUUAGCUAGCGUAAUAGUGACAUCAAUGGAUUCUAACUCAGCAGGUGCAAUCUCAUCUUUGAUUUCAUCAUAUAGAGAACGGGGUAUUGCACUAACACUAGCUCCCGUAUCACAUAAACCAUGGUAACAGUGAUCUCCUAUCUUGACAGAAACAACGGGCAGGCCAACUACAGGUCCGUGUUUGUCUUUCGCGUGAGGUUUAGCAAUUCUAGCGGAGUCCUCACAGAAUUUGAUAACAUGCCCAUCUAUGUCUUUGGCUAAGAGAUCUUUGAUAAUAGCAACACUAGGUUCAACUCUAAUCUCCUCAGGGGGUGCAAGUGAUCUAAUGUAACCCCUACGUAUCACAGUUGGAGCUUUAGAAUAAUCCUUUAUCCUAGCAGGGUAUGGUGGUUUCUCAGUGUAAGCACAAGGAACAACAGGAUCACUAAAAGCAAUGACUUUCUCCUCAACUAGAUUGGUUUUGGCUAUGUUGCUUUCUACAGGAGGAUGAUAUUUAAACCACUUCUCUUUGGGAAGAUCAACAUGAGCAGCAAAAGAUUCACAUAGAGAAGCUACUAUCUCAGAGUCAAGUCCAUACUUAGCGCUAAAAUCUCUAGAAGUGUUUGUCUCAACAAAAGAUUUAACGCAAUCAAACUGGAAAUUCAUACCUGACUCCUUACCUUCCUCCAGCUCCCAAUAUUCAGAGUUGCAUUUGAUUCUCUCCAAUAAAUUCCACUUGUGAUCAAUAUCCUUCUUCAUAAAAGAACCGGCACAAGAAGUGUCAAGCAUGGUACGAUCUUCAUGAGAAAGCCGAGCAUAAAAGUUUUGAGUGAUGAUUUCUCUCGAGAGCUCAUGAUUGGGGCAUGAAUAUAUCAUUGAUUUAAGCCUCCCCCAAGCUUGAGCUAUGCUUUCCCUGUCACGAGGCCAAAAGUUAUAAAUAAAGUUCCGAUCACGAUGUACUAAAUGCAUAGGAUAGAACUUUUGAUGAAAUUCCAAUUUCAACCGAUUGUAGCCCCAUGAUCCAGUAUCAUCACAUAGCCUAUACCAUGUCAACGCCUUAUCCUUCAAAGAUAAAGGAAAUAAUUUCUUCUUUACCUCAUCCUCGGGCAAACCUGCAAGCUUAAAUAAACCACAAACUUCAUCUACAUAGAUUAGAUGCAAGUCUCGAUGUGAAGAUCCAUCUCCUGUAAAAGGAUUAGCCAGCAGUUUCUCAAGCAUACCCAAAGGAAUUUCAUAAAAGAUAUUUUAAGUAGGUACCUUAGGUUGAGGAGAAACUCCUCGUGCUUCCGUUCGUGGUGAAGAUACCCCGAACAAACUCCUCAAAGAAACAGUUUCCAUAGUGACAAGUGACAAUAAAUUUCAGCACAGUAUAUAAAUGUUUCCUUACCAAUUUCCACUUACCAAAGGCGCUUCACUCCGCGGCAACGGCGCCAGAAAAGAGUAUUGAUUACCCACAAGUAUAGGGGAUCAAUCGUAGUCCUUUCGAUAAGUAAGAGUGUUGAACCCAACGAGGAGCGGAAGGCUCUGAUAAAUGGAUUUCAGCAAGGUAAUAACUGCAAGCAUUGAAAGUAGCGGUAACAAGUGAUUGUGUAGCGAGGUGAAACGUAGCAAGCAAAGUGUAGCAAGUAACAAGUAGUAGAAAUGGUGCACCAAGUGGCCCAAUCCCUUUUGUAGCAAGGGACAAGCGUGAACAAAGUCUUAUAGGAGGAAAAACGCUCCGGAGGACAUACGGGAAUUUCUGUCAUGCUAGUUUCAUCAUGUUCAUAUGAUUCGCGUUCGUUACUUUGAUAGUUUGAUAUGUGGGUGGACCGGCGCUUGGAUACUUCCCUUACUUGUACAAGCAUCCCACUUAUGAUUAACCUCUCUCGAAAGCAUCCGCAACUACAAAAGAAGAAUUAAGACAAAGUCUAACCAUAGCAAGUGGAUCCAAAUCAGCCCCUCACGAAGCAACACAUAGACUGGGGUUUAAGCUUCUGUCACUCCAGCAACCCAUCGUCUACUUAAUACUUCCCAAUGCCUUCCUCUAGGCCCAAAUAUGGUGAAGUGUUAUGUAGUCCACGUUCACAUAACACCACUAGAGGAAAAACAACAUACAACAUAUCAAAAUACCGAACGAAUAUCAAAUUCACAUGACUAUUAUUAACAUGACUUAUCCCAUGUCCUCAGGAAAAAAAGUAACUACUCACAAAACAUAAUCAUAAUCAUGAUCAGAGGUGUAAUGAAUAGCAUCAAGGAUCUGAACAUAAACUCUUCCACCAAGUAAUCCAACUAGCAUCAACUACAAAGAGUAAUCAACACUACUAGCAACCUUACGAGUACCAAUCGGAGUCGCGAGACGAAGAUGGGUUACAAGAGAUGAACUAGGGAUUGGAGAGGAGAUGGUGCUGAUGAACAUGUUGAUGAAUAUGCCUCCCCUUCGACGGGAGGAGUGUUGGUGAUGACGAUGGCGACGAUUUCCCCCUCCGGGAGGGAAGUUUCCCCGGCAGGAUCGUCCUGCCGGAGCUCUAGAUUGGAUAUGCUCAAGUUCCGCCUCGUGGCGGUGACGAAACCAUGAAAAAGCUCCCGAUUGAUUUUUUUCUGGACCAGGACACUUCAUAUAGCAAAAGAGGGGGCUAGUGGGCCGUCAGGCAGCCCACAAGCUUGCCGUGCGCCACCAGGGGGUGGUAGCGGUGGGCAAGCUUGUGGAGCCCUGGUGGCCCCCCUCCGGUAGUUCUUUCGCCCAGUAUUUUUUAUAUAAUCCAGAAAAAAUUCACGUAACUUUUCAGGGCAUUUGGAGAUGUGCAGAAUAGUGGAUUAGGAUAUGCUCCUUUUCCGGUCCAGAAUUCCAGCUGCCUGAAUUCUCCCUCUUCAAAUAAACCUUGCAAAAUAAGAGAGAAAAGGCAUAAAUAUGGUACCACAAGUAAUAUAGCAGCCCAAAAAGCAAUAAAUAUCAACAUGAAAGCAUGAUGCAAAAUGGACGUAUCACUUUCCCAGCUCCCAUCUGACUGGCGGCCUGGGCGGACCUCGCAGAGGAGGAUGAUCGAGCUGCGGGACACCUCAUCCUCCAUCAUGCCUCGGUGAGCCUGCUCUGUACCCAUGGAGUCGUGGUUGUGACUGCUGCUACCGCUAGCGCUCCCCCAGGUAUGGACGCUGUGCUGGCCUGGUCCGGCCCAGCCCGUGACAUAGGCCUCUGUGCUUUGCUUGAGCACCGACGGGAAAAGGUUUGCCCUUAGGAAAUAGGGUGUGCCGUGGCUGCUCCCAUGGCUGGGGGUGAGGGGGGGGGGGCACAGGACGUGCUGACGGGGGUCUCGUCUGCUUCUCCCGGCGUGCUCGUGAAAGAGACCUUCAUGAUUGGUUUUGAUUAUUGAUGACGAUCUCGAUGGACGAAUGAUUGCCUUGAGUUGUAUUUAAAGGGUUUGUUGAUAUGCAUUGCUUGAAGACGAUCUGUUUGUUUCAAGGUUAGUACAAGAACAAUUGUAACACGUUGUGCGUGACAAAAGCGCAUAUAUAAAUACUCCCUCUAUCCAUAUAUAUAGGGCCUAAUGCAUUUUAAGGCUAACUUUAACCACAUAUUAGAGUAAUAAUAUACGACAUGCACGUUACACAAAUCAUACCGUCAAAUUCGUAUGUGAAAGAAGUUUUAUGAUAUAAUUUUUACAUUAUACAUCUCAUAUACUAUGAAAAUUUAUCAGUAGUUAAAGGAAGUCUCGAAAAACGCAUUAGGUCAUAUAUAUAUGGAUGGAGGGAGUACUUUACUCUCCUUUUUGUUGGGAUGAUAAUUAAUUAGAAUACUUUCACUAAAGUGCUACAUAACCCUGUGUAUUUUGCAUGCUAUCACGUCUCUAAUAAUUUUACGCUACCAACUCAUUUGCAUUGCUAAUUCAUACAACUAUUCAGCUCUGUUUUGUAUUUUUUUGCUGGUCCUGGUCCUGUUUUUUUUUUGCGGUGGAAAAAAGAGCUUUAUUUAGUUACUGAUAGGAUUACAAUCGAUAACCAGAAGGCUAAUCAGAGCAUCAUGGGCAUCACACAACCACAACUCGGUUCGACACUCCGCUCUUGACAAAUAGGGUAGUCGAUCUGCAGCCCUAUUCUCCGAACAAUCAAUACAUUGACAUGCCUGAGAGAGCACGCUGCCUAGUCAAUUCUGGACAAGAUGCCAAACAGAUCCAUGUUUUUGGUUCUGAUUUGUUCAUUCUUAGCUGAGCACAAUGGCACGUGUAACUUGCAUGGGUCAUCUUGUGGAUUAUACCUGAUCUUGGAGUUGAUUUAUUUCAUGGACCAACUCAUGCUCACACAUUUAAUAUUAUUUCUACACAUUUAUGACAUCUCCCCUCUCACAUUCUUGAUAUAUAAAACCGUGAACCUAUUGCAACGUUCACUUCCAACUUGCCCAUUCUUCAUGUUUUUUGGUUGCUAGGUCCUAGCAGACCGUGAGAGUCUCAAUUCCCUAAUCAAAAAAGCGCAAUCUUGCUACUAUUGCAAGAAGCUAGUACUUGGAAUGCGUGGCAUCCGGGAAACUGUAGAAGCGAGCUGCUGCCAUAAGACUUCUUUGCACCAUGGGCAAAUUGGUUCGUUUUGGCUGCUAAGUAAAAAUAGAGGGCAGCAAUACAGUCCAACCGAUCUGCACUGUCACAACACCAAAGUUUGCAUCACAUUUGCAUCACCAUGUCCGGAUGGAAUGGUGCUGGCCCGAGUCGCGUAUGAAGAUGUUACAUCGUAUGUUCAUUCUAUACUAUUCCUGAAAUAGAAGCUUCUCCCGAUAGUUAAAUGUGCUGCCAAUGAUGUUUUCAUACACACAUGCAUUGUUUUGGCCUUGUGGAAAGCAUAUUCGGAUUGAUUUUAUUUUGUCAUCCACAUGUAUACUGAAAAACAAAAAUUUAGUCUAAAAAUCCAACAAGCCAUUUUGAUUACUAAUUAUCUUGUAAUGGAUUAGCCAAUAUCUCUUCAUGUAACAUGUAAAAUUCACCCAAUUGGGAUUGAGAACGCUGGCACUUUCCCUUUACUUUCGCAAUCGACUAGAGGACCGGGCGAGUGCCCUCGUUGCCACACCUAUGCUGACGUUCUGGAGAUGGUCGUACGUCUCUGCAACCCGGGCGUAGAGAUGCACAACAGAUCAUGCACUGACAUCCCUAUAAACAUAGCCUUUCCGUGUCUUUGAUGUGAAAUGAAUAAUAGUAAUAUGCUGAGGCCACAAGAUAUUGCAAUGAGAUUCGUGCAUUAUUCGGUGUUCAACAUGUAUAGUAUAGAUUGUGUAUCGAACCGGCACUCAUGUGUAGGCAUGUACAUGUUGGAUACCAACAUGCAUUGCGAACGAUUAAUUUACUGGAUUGCAGGAAUGAAUAUCAGGAUUGACCUGUAAAUGCAAAUUCGUGUGGAAAUUGUUUUUGUCAACCUGAUGCACCCUCUUCAAAUAUCUCAAUAUUACAGGUUUCCUCUGGUAACUCGUUCGUGGCAUAUGCUUCAACGAGUCUAUGUUGACACCUCGUCAUAAACCUCUUUUCCAUAGUGUUUGACUGACCACUCUCCGAGCUAGCAAAAUCAUAACUUGCACCAAAAUGUCUCCCCAUUUCCGAUUAGAAACUGCCUGAAGCUUAUUCCAUUUUUUGGUCAUAUGCGGGUUUAAAUUACCAUGUCCAUAUGAAACCUCCGAUCUCUUUUGACUCGCCAUGGUAUAACCUGCUUUAAUCCCUUACUUUCUGAAUUCAUUCCUAUGGUUAACUAAUUGCAUAUUACUGUUGGGGAACGUCGCAUGGGAAACAAAAAAUUUCCUACGCGCACGAAGACCUAUCAUGGUGAUGUCCAUCUAUGAGAGGGGAUUUCCGAUCUACGUACCCUUGUAGAUCGCACAGCAGAAGCGUUAAGAAACGCGGUUGAUGUAGUGGAACGUCCUCACGUCCCUCGUCCGCCCCGCGAACCGUCCCACGAUCCAUCCCACGAUCCGCUCCGAUCUAGUGCCGAACGGACGGCACCUCCGCGUUCAGCACACGUACAGCUCGACGAUGGUCUCGGCCUUCUUGAUCCAGCAAGAGAGACGGAGAGGUAGAUGAUUUCUCCGGCAGCGUGACGGCGCUCCGUAGGUUGGUGGUGAUCUAAUCUCAGCAGGGCUCCGCCCGAGCUCCGUAUAAACGCGAUCUAGAGGUAAAACUGUGGAGGUAUGUGGUCGGGCUGCCGUGGCAAAAGUUGUCUCAAAUCAGCCCUAAAACCCCACUAUAUAUAGGAGGGAGGGCGGGGAGGAGGCAGCCUCAAAACCUAAAGGUUUGGCCGAAAUUGGAGGUGGAGGAGUCCUACUCCAAUCCUACUUGGAGUAGGAUUCCACCUUCCCACUUGGAAACUCUUUCCACCUUGUGUUUUUUUCCUUCUCAAACCUUAUGGGCCUUAGUGGGAACUUAUUCCAGCCCACUAGGGGCUGGUUUAUCUCUUCCCAUAGCCCAUGAGACCCCUUGGGGCGUGACACCCCUCCUGAUGGUCCCCGGCACCCCUCCCAGCACUCCCAGUACACUACCGAUGAGCCCGAAACUUUUUCGGUAAUGCACGAAAACCUUUCGGUAACCAAAUGAGGUCAUCCUAUAUAUCAAUCUUCGUUUCCGGAGCAUUCCGGAAACCCUCGUGACGUCCGUGAUCUCAUCCGGGACUCCGAACAACAUUCGGUAACCAACCAUAUAACUCAAAUACGCAUAAAACAACGUCGAACCUUAAGUGUGCAGACCCUGCGGGUUCGAGAACUAUGUAGACAUGACCCGAGAGACUCCUCGGUCAAUAUCCAAUAGCGGGACCUGGAUGCCCAUAUUGGAUCCUACAUAUUCUACGAAGAUCUUAUCGUUUGAACCUCAGUGCCAAGGAUUCAUAUAAUCCCGUAUGUCAUUCCCUUUGUCCUUCGGUAUGUUACUUGCCUGAGAUUCGAUCGUCAGUAUCCGCAUACCUAUUUCAAUCUCGUUUACCGACAAGUCUCUUUACUCGUUCCGUAAUACAAGAUCCCGCAACUUACACUAAGUCACAUUGCUUGCAAGGCUUGUGUGUGAUGUUGUAUUACCGAGUGGGCCCCGAGAUACCUCUUCGUCAUACGGAGUGACAAAUCCCAGUCUUGAUCCAUACUGACUCAACGAACACCUUCGGAGAUACCUGUAGAUCAUCUUUAUAGUCACCCAGUUACGUUGCGAUGUUUGAUACACACAAAGCAUUCCUCCGGUCUCAGUGAGUUAUAUGAUCUCAUGGUCAUAGGAACAAAUACCUGACACGCAGAAAACAGUAGCAACAAAAUGACACGAUCAACAUGCUACGUCUAUUAGUUUGGGUCUAGUCCAUCACAUGAUUCUCCUAAUGAUGUGAUCCCGUUAUCAAGUAACAACACUUGCCUAUGGCCAGGAAACCUUGACCAUCUUUGAUCAAUGAGCUAGUCAACUAGAGGCUUACUAGGGACAGUGUUUUGUGUAUGUAUCCACACAAGUAUUGUGUUUCCAAUCAAUACAAUUAUAGCAUGGAUAAUAAACGAUUAUCGUGAACAAAGAAAUAUAAUAAUAACUAAUUAUUAUUGCCUCUAGGGCAUAUUUCCAACAAUUACUACUCUUCUUUACAUUGCGAGUUCUUUGUUCUAAACAGGCAAUUUCAACUAUCACAUAUUAUUUAAUCAUACCGGAUACCUUAUGAAACGAGCAUGUGUCCUUAUGCGCAAGUCAUUAGCAAAUGACAUUUUCUCCAUUUGAUCUAUUAGUAAACAUGCGAUUGUGAAAUGUAGUUCUCAAUCUUCAAAGAAGCAUGAAACGCUACAGCAGCAAAACAGAACACAUUCAGCAUAAAACCAAGAAUGAUACAUGCAAAGAAAAUCCUUUCGGAUAAUACUAUAUCCAUUAUUUUGAUAUUUUCGCUUAAGCACGACCACUAACGAAUUAAAUUCACCAGCUAGUAAGGAACGCAUGUACAAGAUCCAUACAAAACCCAUUGCUUUUCGUAAAAUAAUAACUUAAUAAACAUGUUCAAGUAGUUGAAAUAUAGUUAGAUAAAGGUUUGUAAAAUAUACUUUCAGUUGCAGUUAGCAGCGAUGCCAACUCUAACAGUAAGUUACAGUUGAACAUGACAAUUUAUAGUUGUCGUUUCUUUUUGAAGGCCACGAUUUUCCGUUGUACCACUUCAAUACUGUAGUGGUACACGGAGUGACACCUGGUGUUUCGACCUUUCUGCAUUAAAAAUGUGCUCUCACCUGCCUUUUUUUGACCUACCAUCUCAAAUUCAUUCUAUAUAUAGAUCUCUUGGCUCAAAAGUCAUUGUCUUCAUGUGCCCUGCCUCUGUUGUUACUUACUCCUCUUUUGUGCCCUGCCUCUGCCUUUGCUCUUGUGUUUUGUUCUUAAAAUUUCUUGGGUCAGCUUGUCCUCCACAAAUUAAGAUAGUCAUCUCAUAACCCGGCGUGUUUUUUUUUCACAUCAAGUUUGGGCGCACCAGGUAGACAGGCAUGCGUCCACAGUCCAGUGCCUCGAAAUGGGCGGCACCAGGAAACCACCGGCAAGUCUAUUACUGAACGGUCAUUGAUUUAUGUUGAAUGUGUCCUGCAAAAGAGCGAUGGUAAAGGUCAAGCCCCAUCUCCCACCCGCGUGGGCGGACCAUGCAGCUCGUCUUGUCGUCUUUUACUCCUAGGUGGCACCUGCAUCACGCUCAAGCAUUGGGAGGAAAUGUGGAAAGAUGAACACAAGAUCGAUGUCUAGGUCAUUAACCAGCAAUGCAACAUAUAUUACAGUAGUAGACACUUGCGGGUAAUUUCUACGGACUGUGCUUACGGACGCUAUCAAGGUCUCACCUCUCACGUGGUUAGUGGAGAUUGAAACGGCUGGUCCUCGUAUUCCUCCACCGAGCGGCGACUUGACGCCACGUCUGUCUGUAGGCUCCUUGCGUAGCAAAGCAUCCGUAAGAAGAGCAUUAUUGUAAUAGGACUGACUAAGACAUCAGUCACUCAAGAUAAGGGACACUAAUCACAAGAGAAAAGCUCAUUGCUAGUCACCUGGGAGCUCGUAUAUGGCUUGAGCCUUGUUGAUAAAAAAUAAAUAAAUUCAGUGCACGAGUGGAGUACAAAUGCACAGUGGCCGGCCUACAUGACCCUUACUUUCCUCCUUGCCUUGACGAGUACUGGAGAGCCCAUGCGACUUCCUUAUUCUUGUCUUCGGUUCAAACUUCACAGUCACUUCGUCCUCUUCGACCCUAGCCGCCACUCCCCGAUAAAUUCAUUAUUUUGACCCUUCUUGUAAAGUUAAGAUGUAUCUGAUCCUAACAUGAAAAAAUAUAUUUGGAUCUAAUUCUUUUUCUACCGUCACCCUGUGUUGCGCGCGGUAGGCUAACACAGGCUACCGCCACUGUCUUUGGUGGUAGGGAGGCGACGAAUGCAGAUGGCGCCAUUUGCUCGGAUGACGUGGAUAAUAGCCUACCGCGACAGGUAGUGGCGAUAGGGUGUCAUAGCCUUCCGCCACAUUUGGUGGCGGUAGGGUACUCAGUGUGGAUAAGUGAAUUGCUGGUUGGUUGGUGUGUCCCACCAGCCACCCAUUCAUCCCUAAACCCCCUCUUCCCCGAGCUGGGCUCCUCUCCCUUCUCUUUCCCUCAUUUUUGCCUUCACCAAAUCCAUCUUCAUUGCUUGAGUUUUCUCCGGUGGAUCGAGCUCAAUUUCAUCACUCAAGGUACCUCACUCACUCUCUUCUUUUUGGUUGGUUGGAAUUAUCUAAUUUGGUGGCAUUCUAUACUUGUAUGCAAACCCUAGUUUAGGUCAUUUUGAUGUGAAAUCAAUGCAUUUGAGGGAUGACAGGGUUGUUUCCAUGCUUGAUUGCGGGCUCCUCCUUCAUCUCCGUCGUAAGGUUGUCCCACAGAGUGUUACCUCCAUCAGGUAUGGCGGAUCUGCUGCAAGGGAGGAGGAUGGGAGGAGAAUGUGGAGCAGCUUGUGUUGCGGGGUGAAGUUAACCGGGUGUGGUCACCUUUAAUUAGCUUAUUCCGAUGAGGUCGGGCAUCCGAGUGCGUUAAUGCACGACACUGGAGUGGGUUUCUCGACCGACGAGCCUGUUUAAUGCUGGCAUAUGGAUGAACCGCAAAUUGAACGGGUGUGGUAGAUAAUAGUCCUAUCUUGUCCCGUAAAGCGUCUCCGACAGUGAACAAGCGCGAACACCGGGGAGGCAUCCUCGAUGGUGUCUUCGGCCAACGAGCCACCUCAAUGGCGAAGCAAGUAUGUGUAGUAUGCCUAAUCAUCAUGUUUGUAACAUCGAUCUACAGUUAUUCUUAGGCAUUUUUGUAGGUUUAGGGCUAGGGUUAGGCAAUGUGAUUAGUAAGUAGUUAGGGUUAAGCAAUAAUAUUUUGUUAUUUGUAUUUUUGUUUGAAUUUAAUGCACAGAUCUUUUUGAUCCAUAUUAUGUUGCUAUCCUAUCAUUCAUCUUUUUUUUACAAUGUACUUAGAUGGAUAGACUCGUUAAUGUACAUUAUUUGGAUAAGAAGGCAUUUAUGAAAGGCAAUAUAGAUGAAUGGGAAGAGUCCAUGGUUUUUGACUCAAGCCCAACUUAUGAGGAGGUGGUUAUGACAGUUAGAAAUGUGUUAAAUUGGAUUGACCCAAAUGAUAAAGUUAAGCUUAAUCGAAGGUAUGAUGUUGGAGUGGGGGUGAAGUCUCGAUUGAAGAGUAUGCCUAUCGCCUCAGAAUUGCAUUGGAAGGCUUACAAGGAUAAAGUAGUUGAAUCACAAGACAAAUCACUUGAAUUAUUAUAUGCCACCAAGAUUGAGCUUCCUGUCCUACAAAUUGACUUGAACCGACAUGCCACCUCCUUAAUACAUGAUGGAAGGGUGGAGGUGUAUGUCCCCAAUUCUUCUAGUCAACCACCAAAUGAAGCGGAGAUGAAUGAUAGAGCCAUGGUAAUUCAAGAGGAAGAGGUUCAUGUUGAUGCUGACGCUGCUUAUGUUGAUGAUGAUGAUGCUCAUGUUCAGAUGAUGCUAUUACCCAUGUUGAUGCUUAUGCAAAAGUUCAAGAGAUUCAUUAUAAUCCCAUUGGAAACUUGGAUGUUAUUCGGUACCAGCAAGAUAUGGAUCGUAGCCUCCCCUAUAGUCGUAUGUAUGGGUAUGACUCGGAUGACGAGGGUCCGACAAAGGAAUUGGACGAGGAUGAUUCACCGCACAAGAAAAUGAAAUUUUCAAGAAGGUGACGGGGAAGGAAAGAGGCGCCCCAUUGUUUCAUGAUCUUAUUCUUGUCGACAAGGCCGUUGUUGAUGGUGGCAUGAGAUUGGGGUUGUUUGAACCAACACCAUGCACGAAGGUCAGUGACCCUAAACCCAAGGAUGAGGACGAGAAUGUUAAUUUGAAGAAAGGCAUCAAGUUCGGUUAGAGUGACUAUGCCAUUAGGAACCAUAGGCCUUUUGUUAUCGAUUAUUUCGACCAAAAUCUGUGGUGCGCCAUCAAUUGUGACAAAGUAGGUUGCCCUUGGAAGGUUAGUGGAAGAAAAAUUGAAGAAACGGGGCAAUGGACGUUGAAGAGUUGUGUGGACACUUACUUGUGCAUACCACCAGACAAAGCUGACCGCAACAAUGAACACCGUCAAGUCACGUUUGAGUUCUUAGGAUACAAAUUGUUGAAUGGGAUAUACCACGAUCCAACCUCAUGAGUUCGGUUGAAGAACGGUUCAAAUAAAAGGUCAACUAUGGGAAGGUAUACAAGGCCAAGGCAAAUGCUAUCAGGAUGGUGCAUGGUGAUUAUGAGGCCGCGUACAAUAUUCUACCGUGGAUGCUGGUUGCCAUUGCACAUAGGAACCCUGGCAUGUGUCAUGCGAUGGAGGAAAUUGACGGAGUGUUUCAUCGUGCAUUGAUGAUACGUCUCCAACGUAUCUAUAAUUUUUAAUUGUUCCAUGCUAUUAUAUUAUCUGUUUUGGAUGUUUUAUAUGCAUUAAUAUGCUGUUUUAUAUUAUUUUUGGGACUAACCUAUUAAUCUAGAGCCUAGUGCCAGUUUCUAUUUUUUUUCCAUGUUUUAAAGUAUUGCAGAUAAGGAAUAUUAAACGGAGUCCAAACGGAAUAAAAUUUCCGAAAUGAUUUUUCUUGGACCAGAAGAAAUGCAGGAGACUUGGAGUAGGGGACAGGGCAUUUGACGGGAGCCCACAAGCCUGCAGGGCGCGUCCUAUUGGGGUGGUCGUGCCCCUGGCUUGUGGGUCCCGUGCAGGUCUCAUAACCUUAUUCUUUGGCCUAUAAAUUCCCAAAUAUUCCCAUAUCGCAGAAGAGAGCCACGAAAAUACUUCUACGUAGUCGGGAGCCUCUGUUCCCGUGAGAUCCAAUCUGGGAGCCUUUUCCGGGAAUCUGCCGGAGUGGGAAUUGAUCAUGGAUGGCAUCUACAUCAACUCCAUUUCCCCUCCGAUGAUGCAUGAGUAGUUCACCACAGACCUACGGGUCCAUAGCUAGUAGCCAGAUGGCUUCUUCUCUCUCUUUGAUCUUCAAUAGCAUGUUCUUCAUGAUCUUCAUGGAGAUCUAUCCGAUGUAAUACUCUUUUGCGGUGUGUUUGUCGAGAUCGGAUGAAUUGUGAGUUUAUGUUCAGAUUAUCCAUGAAUAUUAUUUGCAUCUCUUCUGAAUUCUUAUAUGCAUGAUUUCAUAUCUUUGCAAGUCUCUUCGAAUUAUUGGUUUGGUUUGGCCAACUAGAUUGGUAAUUCUUGCAAUGGGAGAGGUGCUAAGUUUUGGGUUCAAUCUUGCGAUGUCCUCACCCAGUGACAUAGUAGGGGUAGCGAGCCACGAAUUGUACUGUUUCCAUCGAGGAUAAAAAGAUGGGGUUUUCAUCAUAUUGCUUGAGUUUAUCCCUCGACAUCAUGUCAUCUUACUUAAUGCGUUACUUUGUUCUUCAUGAACUUAAUACUCUAGAUGCAAGCAGGGGUCGGUCAAUGUGUGGAGUAAUAGUAGUAGAUGCAGAAUCGUUUCGGUCUACUUGACACGAACGUGAUGCUUAUAUGCUUAAUCAUUGCCUUGGAUAUCUUCAUAAUUAUUUGCUUUUCUAUCAAUUGCUUGACAGUAAUUUGUUCACCCACUGUAUUAUUUUUCUUUAUGAGAGAAGCCUCUAGUGAAACCUAUGGCCCCCAGGUCUUUUUCCAUACUAUAUUUUCAGAUCUAUAAACCAACAAUACCAAAAAUAUCAUGCUGCAAUUUAUUUACUUUUGUUUCCGCAAUCUUUUAUAUCCAUCUCUAUCAGAUCUCAUCCUUGCAAAUAACUCUGAAGGGAUUGACAACCCCUUUAUAGCGUUGGGUGCAAGUGUUUGAUUGUUUGUGUAGGUACUAUGAUUGGGGCCUUACUUGUUCCUCCUACUGGAUUGAUACCUUGGUUCUCAAAAAACCGAGGGAAAUACUUAUCUACUUCUCUGCAUCACCCUUUCCUCUUCAAGGGAAAACCAACGCAAGCUCAAGAGGUAGCAAGAAGGAUUUCUGGCGCCAUUGCUGGGGAGGAUACAUAGCAAGAUCAAGCCUACCAAGUACCCAUCACAAACUCAUCUCUUGCAUUUACUUUAUUUGCCAUUUGCCUCUCGUUUUCCUCUCCCCCACUUCUAAAACGAUUUUCAGAAAAUACCAAAAAGAUUUGCCUUUUUAUUCGCCCUUUUUCCGUUUGUCUUUUUGUUUGCUUGCUUGUGUGCUAGAUUGCUUGCCCUGUCACGAUGGAUCAAGAUAAUACCAGGUUAUGUGACUUUUCCACUACUACUACUAAUGAUUUUAUUAGUACUCCAAUUGCUCCCGCCACUAGUGUGGAAUAUUGUGAAAUUAAUGCCGCUUUGCUCAAUCUUGUUAUGAAAGAACACUUUUUUAGCAUUCCUAGUGAAGAUGCCGCAUCCCAUCUAAAUACUUUCGUUGAGUUGUGUGAUAUGCAAAACAAGAAAUAUGUGGAUAAUGAAAAUUUUAAAUUGAAGCUAUUUCCUUUCUCACUACGAGAUCGUGCCAAAACUUGGUUUUCAUCUUUACCUAAAAAUAGUAUUGAUUCAUGGAAUAAGUGUAAACAUGUUUUUAUUUCCAAGUACUUUCCGCCCGCUAAGAUUAUCUCCCUUAGGAACGAUAUAAUGAAUUUUAAGCAACUUGAUCAUGAGCAUGUUGCGCAAUCUUGGAAGAGGAUGAAACUAAUGAUUAGGAAUUGCCCCGCGCAUGGUUUGAGUUUACACUACAACAAAAACAUCAUGUAUGGUCGCUUUUUCGGGGUCGCUUUUUUGUUCGCCUCUACGCCCAUGAACACUACCGACCUAAAGACGUUUUUAAGACGUUUACAAAGCACCACAAGCUUUUUCUUAUAAACAACCUUCAAGAAAAUAAUUUUUUUAUUUUAAUUAACUUAAAGACGAUUUGUGAGACGUUUUAAUGUGCGACUCUAUUCUUAGAGACGAUUUAUGAGACGUUGUAAUGUGCGGCUCUAUUCUUAGAUAUGAAUGUGAGAGGAAUUAUGAGACGUAUGUGAGACUCUAGAGAACAUUCAUGAGAUGUUUAGAUGUGCGAUUUUUCUUAUCUUAGACUUAAGAAAACAUUAAAUAAUUAUAUUUUCUAAAACUCAGAUAGCUAUUAAAAUUAGCUGCACUAAACUUUGAAUAAAUGUGAUUUCUUAUUUGAUUCUCACCUUAACGAUCUCCUCUCCAUAUAUGCUUCUAUCAAAACUUGGAUGUUUUUUCAUGACUUUCUUUGCACUUUGAUGAUUUGCCCCUAUUUUCAUUGACACUAUGUUUUUCCCACACUUUUGCCGAAACUUUGAUGAUUUGUUCCUUUUAACCCGUUUCCAUAAUUUUCAUAUAAUGCAACUAAACUGAUUAUUAAAAUUGUUGGGGAACGUAGCAUGGGAAACCAAAAAAUUUCAUGUAAUGCACGCAAUACCUAUCCAUGGUGAUGAUCAUCUACGAGAUGAGAGAUUGAAUCUACAUACCCUUGUGGAUCAUUAAGCGGAAGCGUAUAUAACGCGGUUGAUGUAGUGGAACAUAUUCGCGAUCCAAAUCGUAGCCCGUCCUGCGAUCUUAUCACGAUCUGUAGCAAUAAACUGACACGAUCAUAUGCUACGUUUAUAGUUUGGUCUUGUCCAUCACAUCAUUCUCCUAAUGAUGUGAUCCCAUUAUCAAGUGACAACACUUGUCUAUGGCUAGAAAACCUUAACCAUCUUUGAUCAACGAGCAAGUCAACUAGAGGCUCACUAGGGACAGUGUUUUGUCUAUGCAUCCACACAUGUAUUUGAGUUUCCAAUUAAUAUAAUUAUAGCAUUGGAUAAUAAACGAUUAUCAUGAAUAUCGUGUCACAUCUCGAGGAUUUCCAACGGUAUUUUAAGUGGGGCAGGGGACGGGACUCCAGGCGAGCGCGGCCGGCAACGACGAGGUGGAGGCGGGAGGGAACCCUAGCGGUAGCUAGCGGGAGCGCCGAAUACGAUCAUACGUGUGUUUGCAUAGGUUAAAGAAAAGAACCUAAAAGAAAUUAUAAAAGAUAAAAUAUUAAAAAAACAUUGAAAAAUAUAAAAGAAAAUAUAAAAAAUACAAUACAAUAAAAUAAUAGGGAAAUACAAAAAAAAUACGCGCGGCGCGGGUGCUCUGUUUUGGCCCCCAAAUCGAGCGCGCGCCGCCCCGCCUCCAAUUCGAGCACACCGCGCGCUGCCUCGCCCCCACCUCGUGCCCCCCUCUAUUCCGAGGAGGCCGCCGCGCCGCCCCCUUCCUCUUCCUCGUAGUCAAUCUCAACCCAACGGCCGCCACGCCGCCUCCCUCGUCAUUACUUUCGGCGAUGACAACGGUGCCUCCCGCGCCCGCGUUCUUCCUCCCCAACAACCAGCUGCUCGCCCCCUCUUCGGUCGCUGUGUAGGAGCCAUCGUGCUUGGGCUGCGACGACCAGCAGAGGACCGCCGCCGGCUCGGCUAGAUCUCCUUCCCUCUCCACUACGAAGCACCAGCAAAGGAGGAGUCCUCCUCUUUCCACCCUUGCCGCCGCCCGAAACCCUAGCCACACAGCACCACCCAUGGCGUUGUAGGUCAGAUCCGCAGGAUCCCCUCAAGAGCCUCGGUAUGUAUCCCUCCUUACCUUUUCUUAUUCUUCCUAUGAUGCGUGGGCGUGUGCAGGUCAGAGGAGAAUGAGCCAGAGCAGGUGGAGGAGCAGGCAAACAUCCGGUAACGUCUCUGCUAGCCGGAUUCAGGUUUGUUUCCCUCUCUGUUGAUGUUGUUAACCAUGGCCUGGUCUAUUUAAGGUUCCGGUCAUGGGGUUUCUUAUUUCUCUCAUUUUUCCUUUUAAUAACGGGUCCAACUCUGCUGAAAACAACACGCACUCUAGGUCCUCUUCACUAUAGCUACUUCAUAGCUUGUGCAGUCACUCUGCUCUUGUUGUUUUUAUUAUGGCGUGUCAUUUAUUCAUGCCCAACCCCAAGUCUAGCAACAUCACUAGCAUCGUCCCUUUAUUUUUUCCGUGGUGGAAUAUUUGGUUGCUUGGAUUACUUGAUAUAAUAGAUCCUCAUUCUGUUUUUGUGCGAUUGAUGCUUUUAUAUGUUGUUUUGCUCAUGAUUUCCUACCCUCUGCUGUGUGCUUCAGUGGAUGGUCAGGGCCUAAGUCAAGGCGGCGGUCGACUGCAGCAUGGAGGAGUCAUUGAGCAACUUCGAGCCCAAGGCGGCGGCAUGCGACGACGACCUCAGCCUGCAACAUAAGCUCCGUGACAUGGCAAUAAUCUGUGAAGUAAAUUACUUGGCAUGGUAUUUUGUUUAGGAGCAGAUUUCUCAUUCUUCACUAGAUAAAAAAAUCAACUUGCUGCUUAAUAUCCUAAUUCCAUUGUCAAUAAUCUGCUGCUUAAUUACAGUUGCGUGAUUAUAACUUGUCAUUUUGGGGGAUUUGUUUGCUUCUCAUGAAAUAGAAUGAAUUGUAACUCCACAUUACUGUUCAUUGCUUAGUUCAUUUAUUGAUGAAAGGUUAAAUCUUUACAACUUGCAUGCGUUGAGGCUAUACUGUUAUUAUUGGGAGUGAUAUUUUCACAUGUCAAUAGUGUCACUCAACUAUUUGUGUUGUUCAGGUCGUGUAGGUUCGGCUCAGUCUCGUUGUCUUGGUCCAGCUCACCACCAUCACCGACCGCUACAGACAUUAGAGGUGAGAUCUCUCACCUUCUCUUCUUCCCCUUGCUUUGUGCACGUGGGUUCGAACCACGACUAUUUUGGUUAUGUUGUAUGGGGGCUAUAAUAUAUGCGUAGGUAUUUAUGUGUGGGAUUUAAGUAUGCUUCUGAGAAAAAAUUCUAUCCAAUUUAAACACCGCAUGUCUACCAUGCUUGUGGCAUGGGGGUUACUCGAGGGAGUAAGACUGUCCAGGGCAGGUUUUCAAGUUAUUGGUUGCUAGUUUGCUUAGUACCAACUCUAUUCCAUGGGGAUAUUGUACAUAAAUGUGCAAAUUUGGAUUUUAAGCAUGUUUUUUUUGUAUAUCUGAUAAGUGCACACCUCUGUAACUGCUCCUCUUUGUCUGAUAUUCUAAGGCCAUUAGGCUCCUGUUUGCUUAGUCCUGAUGAAGAGCUUAGUAGCUGUUAUACACGGCUCAUUUUGUAGUGGCCUUUUAGACUGGAUACCUGAAGAGAUCAAUAUUUACUGUAUGCGUAUUGCCAAGGCUCUUAUAGUUUCAGGAACACAUGCUUCAUGCGUCUUUUUUCUGUUAACCCCUAGGAUAAAACACAUAUGUAUGUGUUGCUUUACUCCCAUAGCUUCAGUGCAUCAUUAAACUGCAUGUAUCUAUGUUCUUCCAGUGGUCCUGAGGAUAAAUAUCAUCUUUAUUUCGCAGAUUGGUAAGCUGCAGACUACUAUAUCCAUUGGUGGGAGCAAGUUGGUUCAAACACGGGAGAGUUCAUCCGACAAAAGAGCUUCUCACCGGUUGUAAAAGCAUUAAAUGGCAGGUAUGCAUUGCGGGCAUGAAAGUUCUCUUUGUUUCAAACACACACUCUCUCACACGCACACACAUACAAUGCUUGUUAUUAGGUAUGUCUGAUAUGUAACAUUUUUUGCUAUCUUAUUUUGAGGCUAGAUUGUGUGCGGUAACAAUUUUUAUAAAUAUCUGAAGGUAAAGACAGCUCAUGGAGAUGCCUCUAACCAGACCUCUCCAUAUAUCCUUUUUCUAUAAACUAAGUACAAACUAUUAGUUUAUGUACUCCCAAUUAAUCUGGUUUAGUUUCAGCACAAUUGUUCUCAACCCUUCUCCUCAAAUGCAAGACAUUGAUGUGCACUUACAAAAUUGGGACAAUUUUCGCAUGUAUGGUAAUCAAUUCGAAGUAGAUUCCUGCAGGUGCAUUUUUUUAAUUAUUAACAGGAGAUAUGCCGACGGCUAUGCCGUUGGCGUAGCCAUGCGCCAGGAAGUACCAGAGGCCGACACAUGGUAGAGAUACGCCGACGGCAAUGCCGUCGCGUAGCCAUGAGCCAGGAAACACCAGAAACCGCCACGUGGCCGAUCUAUGCCGACAGCCUCCCCGUCGGGUCAGCUCUGGAUAUAUGCCGGAGGCAUAACCGUCGGCAUAGGGGUGCCACAUGGCUGGCUCCGGUUAGGCGUCGCCCGUCGAUGGUGCUAUCAUCUACCGUCAUGUGGCAAAGGUUGCCGACGGUCUAUCUAUGCCGACGGUUGUGCGACAGUCGUCGGCGUAGGUACCUAUGCCGAUGAAAGCGGCCACAUACACCGACGUUCGCAAUCCCUACGACCCUAUGCCGACAGUGGCCAUCGGCAUACCCCUACACCGACGCGAUAUAGACCUACGCCGACGGCCUUCGUCGGCAACGCUGGUUAUUUCGGUAGUGAUUGUAGAAAGCACACAUCUAAAAAAAAUGAUAAGGUCAAUCAAGGCUGUGAACAAUCAAAUUUACUGGACAAGCAAUUCACUAACCAGGAAUUGCAUCCUAGCAAAUGCGCGAGAAUAAAAGAGGGUUGCACCAGUUUAUGUUCACCACAUGAACACAUAGUUGCUAAGGUGUGUGUCUGCACGCGCAUAAAUUUCUUCUUUGUUAUCAAACAAUUUCUAUGUUUUGUAUAAGAUCAAACUGAACUGAACCUCAAUUGCAGAAAGCACGUGAUGAUCGUGAAUCAAAGGAUGGUCAUACUGAAAGUAUCAAUGCGGCCAAGCAAGGUGGUCCUCAACCAAGUGUACAGCUGAAUCGCGUCACUAAGGGCCUGGUCGGAGGUCCUCCGCUCCGCAAUCCCAAUCUCGGACUUCGUGGAGUGGCAGUUAAAAAUUGUAGAGCGGGGGAAAAGGUGCUCCGCAGAUCCUCAGAUUUGACGGAGCUGGAGCAUCUACGAACAGCUCCUAAGAAGGUAUAUAUAUAACUAUUCUAACCAUUUCUGUAAUACUCCCUCUGUCCCAAAAUAAGUGUCUUAAUCUUAGUAUAACUUUAUACUAUAGUUAGUACAAAGUUAGGACAGUUAUUUUGGGAUGGAGGGAGUAAUAUAUAUAUCAGAUGACAAUGGUUAGAAUAGUUAGUUGGUCUAAUUCCAUGUGCAAUCGUUCAUUUUUUCAUUAAGUGAAAUCUUCCAUGGUUUGUGAGAAUGAAUGUUUCAUUUCUUGAAAACAUAUAGGAUAAAAUGAAAGUCUUUUUAUUUUUGUUGAACCUGAGAAGCAAAAAUAAAUAUGUGGCUGAAGGAACUUUAGUGAGUAGAGAUAAAAAAUAUGUGAUUGGAGAAAGCAUGCUUGUAGAUCAAUAUGCAACAGUUUUUGUUUCCGCUGUUUCAAGACUUGGAGAUGAGACACUGUUUAGACCUUAUGACAAGUUCCGAACAGUAUAAGGGAUGCUAUUGGUCAUGUUAUUGCAUGGCCUCUAUCACAGGUAAGUACACUUCCAUAUAAUGACUGAUUAUGCUCCAAUGUACAUACUUCAGGUUUAUUAUUUAGGAAGAAUUUUUGUGUUUUUAGGUGAAAAACCCAAUCCCAGCCAUUCCUACACAGCGGCAAAACAAGCCACCAAACACUGGUACAACUCUUACAAAUUCAUCAAAGUACAUUUCUUCUCACACUACUCUUAAAACUUACAUACUACUAUUUUAUCUGUUAUCUUCCUUUUUCAGUGUAGCCCAAGAUUAGAAAAGGAGCGCAUUGCAAGAGCGACAAGCAACUACAGAAGAAUUAGUUUUUAAAUGGACAAAUAUUGUGUAUUAUAUAUAAAGGAUUUCUAGAUUCAUAGGAAAAUUUGGUUCUGGUUGUAUGAUAUUUUCAUAAUUAUUUGCAUCUUUUGUAUGAAUAUUUGAUUUCAUAAAGUUUUGAACUCAAGAUGUUUGUUCCUACUAAUUGAAAUUGUGCUAAUGAGAUGCUUGUGAAUACAAUUGGUUAUAUGGAAGGAUCCCUUUAUAUGAUAUUUCUUGCCUAAGAAUGUGGCUUCUGAUAUCAGUGGAUGCCUUUUACACAACAAUAUUUGUUAUUCCUUCUGCACAAGCGUGUGUUGUGACAAAGUAACUCAGUUUGAAAUGAUGUAACACAAAUUCAAAAUGAAUCAAUUUUUUUAAAGUUAAAUAUAUGUAGUUACAAAGAAGCUUGUGUAUAUUUAGAGACAAAUAUAUCGUCUCUACAUAGCGUGUAUAAGAAUGGGGUUAGGCCCAUGAUGAAUGAAACGACUAUGAGUAAAGAUGUGAUGCUAAUAGAACGACUAUACAUACAUAUAUAUGCUUUUAAAUGUCACAAUACAUCGUCUCAUACCUAGAUAUGCUUUUUACGUCCCAAUAUAGCGUCUCAUGUCAAAGGACCCUUUUGGAUGUCCCAAUAUAGCGUCUCAUAUCUACACACGCUUUUGGACGUCCCAAUAUAGCGUCUCAUGCCAUGUACACACGCUUAGCUAGCGUGUCUACAUGUUUUGAGAGUGUGCAUAGGGAGACGCUUUACUAAGUCGACUUUAUAGUUGCCUAGAGAUGAAAUAACACGUCUGUAGCUAUGGAAUAUGACGUCUCUACAUGUAGUUUUUCUUGUAGUGUUAUGGAUGAUUAUCCAAUUUUUUUAUGCGGGGUUGCAUUUUCCUUCUAGGAAUAUUUUAGAUUCCGACGCGGGUGGUACCUUCAUGGAAAUCACAUUAGGAGAAUCUACUAAACUCCUAGAUAAUAUUAUGGAAAAUUACUCUCAAUGGCAUACCGAAAGAUCUCCUAGUAGUAAAAAAGUGCACGCUAUUGAAGAAAUAAACACUUUGAGUGGAAAGAUGGAUGAAUUAAUGUAAUUGUUUUCUAGUAAGAGUGCUUCUAUUGAUCUCAAUGAAAUGCCUUUGUCUUCUUUGAUUGGAAAUAAUAAUGAAUCUAUGGAUGUGAAUUUUGUUGGUAGGAACAAUUUUGGCAAUAACACGUAUAGAGGUAAUUUCAAUCCUAGGCCGUUUCCUAGUAAUUCCUAUAAUAAUUAUGGUAAUUACUACAACAAUUCUUAUGGAAAUUAUAAUAAGAUUCCCUCUUAUCUUGAGAAUAAUAUUAAAGAAUUCAUUAGCUCGCAAAAAGGUUUCAAUGCUGUGAUUGAAGAAAAAUUGCUCAAGAUUGAUGAUUUGGCUAGGAACAUUGAUAGAAUUUCUCUGGAGAUUGAUUCUUUGAAAAUUAGAUCUAUUCCACCCAAGCAUGAUAUUAAUGAGUCUCUAAAAUCUAAGAGAAUUUCUAUUGAUGAGUGUAAGGAAAGAACCGCUAGAAUACGUGCUAAGCGUGAAUGGCUUGAAAAAGUGUUUUCUCGUGAUAAUAUUGAUGAAGAUCUUAAAGUGAUUGAUGUGACUCCUAUUGAAUCUUUGUUUUCUAGUAUAAAUCCUGAAAAAGAUGGGACUGGAGAUGAGUCAACUUUAGUUAAAAGGCGUCCCAUUGAUUCGGAGUUUAUAGAUCUUAAUGAUAAGAUUGAUAAAAAUGGGAUUGAAGAGGUCAAAACUUUAAACAGCAAUGAGCCCACUCUUUUGGAUUUCAAGGAAUUUAAUUAUGAUAGUUGUUCUUUGAUUGAUUGUGUUUCCUUGUUGCAAUCCAUGUUGAAUUCUCCGCACGCUUAUAAUCAAAAUAAAGCUUUUACUAAACAUAUUCUGGAUGCCAUGAUGAAAUCUUUUGAAGAAAAACUUGAGUUGGAAGUUUCUAUACCUAGAAAUAUUUAUGAUGAAUAGGAACCUACUAUUAAGAUUAAAAUUAAAUAUUAUGAGUGCCAUGCUUUGUGUGAAUUGGGUGCUAGCGUUUCCACAAUUCCAAAAACUUUAUGUGAUGUGCUAGGAUUCCAUGAAUUUGAUGAUUGCUCUUUAAAUUUGCAUCUAGCGGAUUCUACGAUUAAGAAACCUACGGGAAGGAUUAAUGAUGUUCUUAUUGUUGCAAAUAGUAAUUAUGUGCCAAUAGAUUUCGUUGUUCUUGAUAUAGAUUGCAAUCCUAUAUGUCCUAUUAUUCUUGGUAGACCUUUCCUUAGAACGAUUGGUGCAAUUAUUGAUACGAAAAAGGAAAUAUUAGAUUCCAGUUUCCGUUAAGGAAAGGCGUGGAACACUUUCCUAGAAAUAAAAUUAGAUUACGUUAUGAAUCUAUUAUGAGAGCUACCUAUGGAUUGCAUACCAAAUAUGACAAUACCUAGAUGUAUUGCAUUAUGCCAAGCUAGGGGCGUUAAACAAUAGCGCUUGUUGGGAGGCAACCCAAUUUUAUUUUUAUGCUUUUGUUUUUGCUUCUAUUUUUAAGUUCUCACACAUUAUUACCUCUGUAAUAAUUGUGUUUUUUUAAUUAGUGUUUGAGCCAAGUAAGACCUUUGGGAUGGUCUACGGUGUUUGCAAGUUGAUUUUGCUGAAAAACAGAAACUUUCGCUCUCAGUACAAGAAUUUUGUAAAUUCACUGGAACGUGAUUUUUAUCUGAAGUUUUUACACAAAAUUGGUUUACAAAUUUCCCAGAUUUUCCUAAUGUUUCAAAAUAUUUGGAGUUACAGAAGUAUUCGAAGUAAAUUGAUUGCCACAGACUGUUCUGUUUUUGACACAUUCUGUUUUCUUUGUGUUGUUUGCUUAUUUUGAUGAAUCUAUGGGUUGUAUCGGGGGGUAUGAAAAAUGGAGAAGUUGGAAUAAAUUAAAUAUUACAUCAAUAUAAAUAAAUAAUGAGUUCACAAUAGUACCUAAAGUGGUGAUUUAUUUUUCUUAUACUAACGGAUCGCAUGAGUUUUCUGUUGAGUUUUGUGUUCUGAAGUUUUCAAGUUUUGGGUAAAGAUUCGAUGAACUAUGGAAUAAGGAGUGAUAAGAGCCUAAGAUUGGGCAUUCUCAAGACACCCCAAGCCAUAUUCAUUGAUACCAAAGAGCCUAAGCUUGGGGAUGCCCCGGAAGGCAUCCCCUCUUUCGUCUUCAAUCCAUCAGUAAAUUUACUUGAGGCUAUAGUUUUAUUCACCACAUGAUAUGUGUUUUGCUUGGAGCGUCUUGUAUGAUAUGAGUCUUUACUUUUUAGUUUGUCACAACCAUACUUGCUGCACACACCUUUUGAGAGAGACACACGCUGAAUCGUGAAUUUAUUAGAAUACUCUUUGUGCUUCACUUAUAUUUUUUGAGCUAGUCAAUGUUGCUCUAGUGGUUCACUUAUAUCUUUUAGAGCACGACGGUGUUGUGUUUUAUAGAAAUUAUUAAACCGUCGUACCUCACUUAUAUUAUUUUGAGAGUUCUUUAAAUAGCAUGGUAACUGGUUUAGGUUAUGAAUUUAGUCCUAAUAUAAUGGGCAUCCAAGAGGGAUAUAAUAAUAACUUUCAUAUUAAGUGCAUUGAAUAUGAUGAGAAGUUUGAUUCCAUGCAUAUAGUUUUGAGAUAUUAAGAUGGUAAUAUGAGAGUCAUGUUAGUAAGUAAUUGUGAAUUAGAAUAAAUACUUGUGUUAAAUCUUGUGAUUCCCGUAGCAUGCACGUAUGGUGAACCGUUAUGUGAUCAAGUCGGAGCAUGAUUUGUUUAAUGAUUGUCAACCUUUGUGUGGAGGUCGGGAUCGCGCGAUGGUUAACUCCUACCAACCCUUCCCCUGGGAUCAUGCGUCUAAUAAUUUUCUUUGAUAACUAAUAGGCUUUUUCAAUAAGUAUGUGAGUUCUUUAUGACUAAUGCUGAGUUCAUGGAUUAUACACACUCUCACCCUUCCACAUUUGCUAGCCUCUCUAGUACCGUGGAACUCUCGCCGGUACAUUAAACCCACCUUCCUCAAAACAACCACCAUAUAUUUUCCUCAAAACAACCACCAUACCUAACUAUUAUGGCAUUUUCAUAGCCAUUCCGAGAUAUAUUGCCAUGCAACACCACCGUCCCAUUUUUACGACACGCACCAUCACUUCCAUAUUGCUUAUAGAGUCAUACUUUGUUCUAGAUAUCGAGUUGUAAUCUUUUGAGUUGUAAGUAAAUAAAAGUGUGAUGAUUUGCGUUAUUAGAGCAUUGUCCCGUGUGAGAUAAGGAUGAUUAAAGCUAUGAUUCCCUCACAAGUUGGGAUGAGUCUCCGGACUUUACAAAAAAUAAAAGAGGCCAGUGAAGCCCAUAAAAAAUAUAAAAGAGGCCAAAGAAGCCCACCAAAAAAAGAGAAAAAAUGAGAGAAAGAGAGAAGGGACAAUGCUACUAUCCUUUUCCACACUUGUGCUUCAAAGUAGCACCAUGUUCUUCAUAGAGAGUCUCCUAUUUUGUCACUUUCAUAUAACUAGUGGAAUUACAUCUUUUGCACAACCACUUAGUUUCCUUUUUGAGCUUCCAUACACUUAUAGCUCUAGUGCAAUUGUUGCAUGGCAAUCCCUAGUCACUCACAUUGAUAUCUAUUGAUGGGCAUCUCCAUAGACCAUUGAUAUGCCUAGUUGAUGUGAGACUAUGUUCUCCUCUUUUUGCAACCUCCACCACACUCUAUCCCACCUAUAGGGCUAGAUCCAUGGCUCACACUCAUGUAUUGCAUGAGAGUUGAAAAGGUUUGAGAACAUAAAAAGUGUGAAAUAGUUGCUUGAUUUUCAUCAGGGUUGUGCAUGAUUUAGAUACUUUGUGAGGUGAAGAUGGACCAUAGCCAGGCCGUAUGAUUUUGUAGGGUUAACUUUCUAAGAGCAUGUUAUUUCGAAAGGAAGCAAUUACCUUAUUAAUAUGCUUGAAGUACUAUUGUUUUUAUGUGAAUAUUAGACUUUUGUUUUGAAUCUUAUGGAUCUGAAUGCUCAUGCCACAAUAGAUAAUAUUACAAGGAUAAAUAUGUUAGGUAGCAUUCCACAUAAAAAUUAUUUUUUUAUCAUUUACCUACUCGAGGACGAGCAUGAAUUAAGCUUGGGGAUGCUUGAUACGUCUCCAACAUAUCUAUAGUUUUUGAUUGUUCCAUGCUAUUAUGUUAUCUGUUUUGGAUGUUUUAUAUGCAUUAAUAUGUUGUUUUAUAUUAUUUUUGGGACUAACCUAUUAAUCUAGAGCCUAGUGCCAGUUUCUUUUUUCCCACAUUUUUGAGUAUUGCACAUAAGGAAUAUUAAACGGAGUCCAAACAGAAUAAAAUCUCCGGAAUGAUUUUUCUUGGACCAGAAGAAACACAUGAGACUUGGAGUAGGGGGCAGGGCAUGUGUUGGGAGGCCACAAGCCUGCAGGGUGCGCCCUAGGGGGUCGUCGCGCCCCUGGCUUGUGGGUCCCCUUCAAGUCUCCUAACCCUAUUCUUUUGCCAAUAAAUUCCCAAAUAUUACCAUAUCGCAGAAGAGAGCCACGAAAAUACUUCUACGCCGCCGGGAGCCUAUGUUCCCGUGAGAUACAAUAUGGGAGCCUUUUCCGGUAAUCUGCCGGAGAGGGAAUUGAUCAUGGAGGGCAAAUACAUCAACUCCAUUGGCCCUCCGAUGAUGCGUGAGUAGUUCAUCACAGACCUACGGGUCUAUAGCUAGUAGCUAGAUGGCUUCUUCUCUCUCUUUGAUCUUCAAUACCAUGUUCUUCAUGAUCUUCAUGGAGAUCUAUCCGAUCUAAUACUCUUUGCGGUGUGCUUGUCGAGAUCCGAUGAAUUGUGAGUUUAUGUUAAGAUUAGCCAUGAAUAUUAUUUGAGUCUCUUCUGAAUUCUUAUAUGCAUGAUUUCAUAUCUUUGCAAGUCUCCUCAAACUAUUGGUUUGGUUUGGCCAACUAUAUUGGUAAUUCUUGCAAUGGGAGAAGUGCUAAGUUUUGGGUUCAAUCUUGCGGUGUCCUCACCCAGUGACAUAGUAGGGGUAGCGAGGCACGUAUUGUAUUGUUGCCAUCGAGGAUAAAAAGAUGGGGUUUUCAUCAUAUUGCUUGAGUUUGUCCCUCUACAUCAUGUCAUCUUACUUAAUGCGCUACUCUCUUCUCCAUGAACUUAAUACUCUAGAUGCAGGCAUGAGUCGAUCGUGUGGAGUAAUAGUAGUAGAUGGAGAAUCAUUUCGGUCUACUUGACACGGACGUGAUGCUUAUAUGCAUAAUCAUUGCCUUGGAUAUCUUCAUAAUUAUUCGCUUUUCUAUCAAUUGCUCGACAGUAAUUUGUUCACCCACCGUAUUAUUUUCCUUUAUGAGAGAAGCCUCUAGUGAAACCUACGACCCCCGGGUUUAUUUCCCAUAUUAUAUUUUUAGAUCUAUAAACCAAAAAUAUCUUGCUGCAAUUUAUUUACUAUUGUUUCCGCAAUCUUUUAUAUCUAUCUCUACCAGAUCUCAUCCUUGCAAACACUCUGAAGGGAUUGACAACCCCUCUAUAGCGUUGGGUGCAAGUGUUUGAUUGUUUGUGUAGGUACUAUGAUUGGGGCCUUGCUUAUUACUCCUACUGGAUUGAUACCUUGGUUCUCAACAAACCGAGGGAAAUACUUAUUACUUCUCUACAUCACCCUUUCCUCUUCAAGGGAAAACCAACGCAAGCUCAAGAGGUAGCAAUUGACAGUAAAAAUUCAUACUUCACAACAGAAAAAAUGCAUAAUAAUUGACAAGAAUAUAGUUCAACAUCAGCAUUGCACAUGAGGGUUCAACAUGACCAUAAAAGUUCAACAACGAGCUAAACAAAUAGUUGAAAAGUUCAACAUCACCAAAUAGUAGUUCAACAUCACCAAAUAGUAGUUCAACAUCACCAACAUAGCCACACACUAAAUAACCAUCAAGUGCCUGCAUCACCUUCUUCCUCUCUUUGAGCACCCUCAUUCCAGGUUUUCUUCUAGCAACGAGGCAUCGGUCUUUGAACGAAUCCGGAGAAAGUACAUCAGUAUGAGGGUUAGAAACCCUUUUUGCUUGGGAAACUAGUGGUGCAUCCAUCAUCCGAUGAGAUGUUAAUCUCCUUCGGGCCCUCGUCCUGUGAGUCCUCCUCUUAUUCGUCAGAUUCAUAAAUAUCCAUAGAAUAUCCACCAGUAUGGCUAGCUGUAGCACCAACGUGACUAGAAAUAGCGGAAGCUCCACUUGCAUGCAUCGAUGUGCCAGGAGCAUGCAGAUCAAUGUUACCAGGGGCUGCACACCCAAGCAUGGGGGCUAGCCUCUAACAACGUGUUCUUAAGCGCUGCAAUGACAACAACAACGACAAACACAAUUUUCAAUGCAAAGCAAACAUUUGUGUAGUAAACCAUAUGGUAAGGAGUUCGAAUGCUUACUUUCAUAGGGUCCCUCAGUGUAGUCUUGGACUGUGUGAGUGCGUUUGAGCCUUCGAUGAUACUUCUGUUGAGCUCAUAAGUCUGCAAAUUCAAAGAAAGAGCUCCAAAGUGUGCAUAAUCUAGAGGAGAUGAAAACCAUUCUCGACAAAAUUUCAAAAGACUUACCACUCGGCCAGUCAUGGGCGCGUACUGUCUAUGUUCACGUUGUGUACUUAUCUUCUGAGUCACAAUUUUGAUGGGCUCCAGUGAUAUCUGCGUCCGUCCACCUUGGUCUCAAACGCAACCAAAAUUGCCUCUGAUUCUUGUGAUCUGCGUUGGGUUUUCCAUGAAGAGGAACGGGUUAUCACAACACAAUGUGGGUAAGUAUUUCCCUCGGUUACUAAACCAAGGUUUAUCAAACCAAUAGGAAUAUCAACAACAACCGUCUUGAGCGACUGCACACACACACGAACAAACAAUUUGCACCCAACGCAGGGAAUAGGGUUGUCAAUCCCCUUGGUAUUGUUAUUUGCAAUCAAGUGAGAUGUGUAGAUGAUUGUAAAAUGCAAAAUAAAAUGAAAAUAAGUAAAUGGCAGCAAGAUAUUAAAGGUUUUGUAAAUAUAUCGUGAAUAGAACCGGGGCCAUAGUUAUCCCUAAUAGCAUCUCUCAUGAAAAUAACAUAUAGUGGGUAAACAAAUUACUUGGGCAAUUAAGAGAAAAGCGGAUAGUUAUGCGAUACUCACGGCAAUGAUGAUGUGUAUAUAUGCAUCACGUCCAUAAACAAAUAGGUCGACUCCUACCUGCACCUAUUACUAUUACUCAACUCAUCAACCGCUAUCCAACAUGCAUCUAGAGUAUUAAGUUAAAUAGAGUAAUGCAUGGAGAACGAUGACAUGAUGUAUACAAAGUAAACUCAAGCAAUAUGAAUAAAACCCAUCGUGUUAUCCUUAGUAGCAACAACACAAAGACACAUCUUGUCCCCUUCUAUCAAUGGGAUAUAGAAAUUUGUCAGAUUGAACCUACUACAACGCACCUCUCUCUCCGAAGAAAUAUCAAUCUAGUUGACCAAACUAUUUCAAUAGAUUGGAGAGAAUUACGAAUCUAUCAUAAUCAUGCACAUAAUAAUGAUGUUAGUAUUCAGAGAAGACUCAAAUAUUUAUCAUGAGUAAUCUGAACAUACACCCAUAAUUCAUCGGAUUCCAACAAAUGCACCGCACAAAAGGAUUACAUCAUAUGGAUCAAAGCGAAGAGGUGAUUAUCAUUGUAUUGAAGAUCAAGAGAGAGAUAUCCAUCUAGAUACUAGAUAUGGACCCAUAUGUGUGUGGUGAACUACUCAGACAUCAACAUGAGGGCGACAUGGUUGAUGAAGAAGCCCUCCGUGAUCGACCCCCCUCCAGCAGGGUGCCGAAAUAGAGCUCUAGAUGGCCAUCCCCAUCGGAAUAUAGACUUGUGGUGGCGUAAAAAGUGUUUCAGGACUACUUCUAGUGUUAUUAGGAUAUAUGAUAAUUUAUAAGCUAGAGAACAGAGUUGGGAGGUGAUAACCCACAAGUAUAGGGGAUCACAACAGUUUUCGAGGGUAGAGUAUUCAACCCAAAUUUAUUGAUUCGACACAAGGGGAGCCAAAGAAUAUUCUCGAGUAUUAGCAGUUGAGUUGUCAAUUCAACCACACAUGAAAGACUUAGUAUCUGCAGCAAAGUUUCAGUAGCAAAGUAGUAGGAUAGUAACGGUAGCGGCAGUAACAGUAGCAGUAGUGACUUGUGUAGCAAUUGUGACAGCAGUAGCGGUAAAGUAACUUAGCAAGGACUAGUAUAGGAAAAGCUCGUAGGCAUUGGAUCGGUGAUGGAUAAUUAUGUCAGAUGGCAUUCAUCAUGUAACAGUUAUAACAUAGGGUGAUAUGCAACUAGCUCCAGUUCAUCAAUGUAAUGUAGGCAUGUAUUCUGUAUUUAGUCAUACGUGCUUAUGGAAAAGAACUUGCAUGACAUCUUUUGUCCAUCCCUCCCGUGGCAGCGGGGUCCUAAUGGAAACUAAGGGAUAUUAAGGUCUCCUUUUAAUAGAGAACCGGAACAAAACAUUAGCACAUAGUGAAUAUAUGAACUCCUCAUACUAUGGUCAUCUUCGGGAGUGGUUCUGGCUAUUGUCACUCCGGGGUUGCCAGGUCAUAACACAUAGUUGGUGACUACAACUUGCAAGAUAGGAUCAAGAAUACACGUAUAUUGAUGAAAGCAUAAUAGGUUCAGAUCUGAAAUCAUGGCACUCGGGCCCUAGUGACAAGCAUUAAGCAUAGCAAAGUAGUAGCAACAUCAAUCUUAGAACAUAGUGGAUACUAGGGAUCAAACCCCAUCAAAACUAACUCGAUUACAUGAUAGAUCUCAUCCAACCCAUCACCGUCCAGCAAGCCUACGAUGAGAUUACUCACGAACGAUGGAGAGCAUCAUGGAAUUGGCGAUGGAGGAUGGUUGAUGAUGAUGACGACGUCGAUUUCCCCUCUCCGGAGCCUAGAACGGAAUCCAGAUCUGCCCUCCCGAGGAAGAACAGGAGGUGGCGGCGGCUCCAUAUUGUGAAACGCGAUGAACUCUUCUCUCCUAAUUUUUCCUGGGCGAGAGAGACUUUAUAGAGUUGGAGUUGGAGGCUGCGGAGCUACGUGGGCCCCACAAGCCUACCAGGCGCGCCCUAGGGGGGCGCCUCCUGGGCUCGUGGGCUCCUGCUCUGUGUCUUAGGGUAAUUCUUGCACAAGUAUUUUUUAUAUAUUCCACAAAAAAUCCUCGUAAGUUUCGAGGUCAUUUCGAGAACUUUUAUUUCUGCACAAAAACAACACCAUGGCAAUUGUGCUGAAAACAGCAUGAGUCCGGUUAGUUCCAUUCAAAUCAUGCAAAUUAGAGUCCAAAACAAGAGCAAAAGAGUUUGGAAAAGUAGAUACGAUAUAGACAUAUCAGGAGGGCCUCGAGGGCCCCAUAAGCCAUCAGGGUCCGCCCCAGGCCGCGCCAUGUCAGCUUAUGGGGCCCUCGAGUGGCCUCCAGACUUCUUUUGAUGCUCGUUGGUCUUCUUUCGAUCCGAAAAAAACUCCGAAAAGUUUAACGUCAAUCGGACUUCGUUUGGUAUUGAAAACCCAAAAUAGAAAAACAUGCAGAUAACAACAACUCACACUGGGCACUCGGUCAAUAGGUUAGUGCUUAGAAAUAAUUUAAAUUGGUAAAUAAAUAUAAAAAAGUAUCCUAAAAUGGUAAUAUAUCAGCAUGUAACAAUAAAAAAUUAUAGAUAUGUUGGAUAUGUAUCAAGCAUCCCCAAGCAUAAACAUAACUUUUUAUGUGACAUGCUACCAAUUAUGUAACCUUAUGCAUGUAUGCUCAUUGAGAAAUGAUGAGUUAAUAAACAUUAACAUAGUAAUACUUAUAAGUAUAAGCAACAAAAUGAUUAAUUUUUCAAAGUAUACGAUCCUCAAAGGUUGUUUUAACCCCAUUCAUCUUAUUAUAUUAGCAAGGCAUGGUUCCGUCUUCACCACAUUAAUACAAAUUUCAAGCACCACGGAAUUGGAUUGUAAUUCUUCAAUAUGCAUCAACUUUUUAUUCUUCACGCAAUACACGAGCGUGAACCGUAGGACAUAGCAUAUAGGUGGAAUAGAAUAUGGUGGUAGGUCUCAAAGGGGUAAAAGAUGGAGAAGAUAAUCUCAAAUCAACUAGGCAUACCAAGAGAUCAUGGAGAUGCCCGCCAAUAGAUAUAGAUGGAAGGAGUAGGGAUUGCCAUGCAAAUGAUGCACUCGAGCUAUAAGUGUAUGAAAGCUCAACUGAAGGUAAGUAGGCAUGUGCAUCCAACUUGCUUUCUCAUGAAGACCUUGGGCAUUAGAGGAAGCCCGUCAUCGGAAUACAAAAGCCAAGUUUAUGAAAAAGUGAUUCCCACUAGCAUAAGGACGAUAUAACAUGAGACUGUCUAUAUGAAGAACAAGGUGCCACUUUGAGGCACAAGUGUGGUAAAGGAUAGUAACAAAGUGCCUUCUCUCUUUUUUCCUCAUUCAUUUAUUAUUAUUAUGGUGGGUUCAUUUGGCCUCCCCCAUUUUCAUUCCCUCAAUGGGACAAUGCUCUAAUAAUGAUGAUCAUCACAAUUUUAUUUACUUACAACUCAACAUGAGAACUGCUAGGACGGAAUCACUCUGUAUGAAUGUCUCUGGCAGUGUACCAGGAUGUGCAAAGAUCUAGCAUGACAUGUAUCAAAAAUAUGAUGAACGGUCGCUUUGCCACAAAUACUAUGUAAACUGUAUAUGAUAAUGCAAAGCAUUAUGAUGAUGAACGAACUAGUCAUGUGAAGUGACGAUGGAAUUUGCAUGGCAAUAUAUCUCAGAGUGGCUAUGGAAAUGCCAUGAUAGGUAGGUAUGGUGGCUGUUUUGAGUAAUAUAUAAGAAGGAUUAUGUGCAACAGAGCAUGCCAUGUCACGGGGUUGGGAUGCACCCGAUAAAGUUGUACCGAUCCUCAAGGUGAGAAUGGGCAAUGCACGAUACCGAAGAGGCUAGCAAAUAUGAGGAGGUGAGAUUGUGUAUGUUCAUGGUGUCACAUUAGUCAUACAUAACUCAUAUACUUAUUGCAAAGUUUUAUUAAUUUUAUUACAAAUCAAAGUACUACUUGCAUGCCCUGAGGGAGAGGGUUGGUAGGAAUUAACCAUCGCAUGAGUCCGACUCGAAACAACACUAGGAUUUCAACGGGGAAUAGAAAUGCUCACACACCAUCACGACGCCCUUUUAAUUUUUAGACGAACAAGAAGUUAACAUCUCUUAAUUUGACACCUCUCUAAAUUAAUAAUAAUGCACUCACACCUUUUUCAUAUCACCAUAUCACUAUCAUUAACCCAUAAUUUCUCUAUAUGUGUUACAUGAUGGCUUUAAUUAUCAUUCAUUGAAUACCUAGUAGUUUUUGUCUAGUCUUAUGACCCAUGCAAAUUUCCGUCACUAUUUAUUUAACUCCCAAACAAAUAUAAGUGAAUAAUCAUAGCAUAAUAUUUCUAUAAAAUCUACAUGCACCGUCCUAAAAAAGAUAUAAGUGAAGUGGUAGAGCAACUCGUAAGCUCAAAUGAUACAAGACACAUAUAGUAUUCUAACAAAUUAUUAUGAUGAUGUAUCUCUCCCAAAUAGGCGUGUCCAGCAAAUGAUGAUUGUGGAAAACUGAAAGUAAAAUUAAACAAAUGCAAAUGACGCUCUAAGAAAAACUCAUGUCAUGCGAUGAAUAAAAAUGUAGCUCCAAGUGAUAUACCGAUAGAUUGAGACGAAAGAGGGGAUGCCUUCCGGGGCAUCCCCAAUUUUAGAAGCUUGAGUCUUCCUAGAAUAUCACCUUGGGGGUGCCUUGGGCAUCCCCAAGCUUAGUGUUUUGUUGCUCCUCAUUCCUUUGUUUAUCAGGAUAGUACCAAAACUUGAAAACUUCAAUCACAUAAAACUCAACAAAAGUUUGGGAGAUCUGUUAGUAUAAGUAACAUAUCAAAUACUUUUAGGUACUAUUAUAAGUUGAUUCUAAUUUUAUUUUAGCAUAAGUUAUUGUAUUCUAAUUUCUCCAAGGCUUAUUCUCCUCGGUACAAUCCAUAUCAUCCUCAAAACAAGCAAACUACGCAAGCAAUAACAGAAUUUGACUAAAAUAGAACAGUUUGUAGUAAUCUGUAAUGAACCUAUACUAAUGUAAGUCCAAAACUUCUUAACAAUUAGAAUUUCCUGAGGAAUUUGUAUAUUAGUACUGUGUAAAAAAAUCAGCUUAAAAAGACGUCCGAGUAAAAUCAGAGAAAAUUUUCACUGGAUGUCAAAGUUUCUAUUUUUACCGUAUCAAUUCUACUCAUCAUACAAAUUAUCCUAAUGGAUUUACUUAGCACAAACACAAACUAAAACAAAAAAUACAAUCAUUGUAGAGGCAAUAAUCAUGUUAUCACAAACAAACAAAAAUAAGUGAUAACUAAUGAGUUGUCUCCGAACAAGCUCUUUCUUUAUAGCCAUUAAGAUCGGCUUGAAAUUUCAAUGAUGCUCACAUAAAAGACAAGAAUUGAAUCUCAAAGAGAGCAUCAUAAAACAUAUGACAAGAACAUUUAAGUCUAACAUACUUCAUGUGCAUAGGGCAUUUUAUAAGCAAACAAUUUAUGAAGACAAGAAGUGUCUAGCAUAAGCAAGUAGGAAGAAUGAAGCAUUAAAUUUUUGAAUAUCAAGAGAGGUAAGUGAGUAACAUGAACAUUUCUAAAACCAUAUUUUCCUCUCCCAUAAUGAUUACAUGUAGGAUCAUAUUCAAAUUCAGUGUUGGGUUCAAAUAACGAGACCAAGGGGAUUGACAACCUUGUUGCCCGUGUUGGGUGCAAGUUGUUUGUUCUUUUAUUUGCAACCGCUAAAGACAGUUGUUGUUGAUAUUCCUAUUCGUUUGUUAAACCUUGGUUUCAUAACUAAGGGAAAUACUUACCCACACUAUGCUGCGAUAACCCGUUCCUCUUCACGGAAAACCCAACGCAGAUCACAAGUAUCAGGAAGUAUUUCUGGCGCCUUUGCCGGGGAAUAUCAUGAAAAACUAUCAAGUAACUUAACACAAAUUAUCAUUCACUUGUUUUUCUUUUUAUUUGCUGUUAUAUCUUGCUUAAUUAAAAAAAUAGAAACAAAAAUAUUUACCUUUGCUUGUCACUAGUUUGCAUCUUCGCUCUCUAGUUUACUUGCCUAGCUAUGCUAUCUUUAUCUUUGUCACACCAAAAUAGAAAGUAAAAUGCAAAUAUUAAGAUAACUGGAUCCUCAUCCACUAGCUAAUCUUUUCAAAAGACUCGUUUAUGCUGAAACAAUUUCUAGUGAGAGUGCACUAUAUUAUCUUUAUGAGAUCUUGCUUGAAAAUCAUGAAUCCAAAAAUUGUGAAAAUUAUAAAGUGAUUCAUGAUAGUUCCUUUAAUGAAAAUCAUGAUUGCUAUAUUGUUGAAUUUGAAUAUGAUCCUACAUGUAUUUAUUAUGAGAGAGGCAAAUAUGGUUAUAGAAAUGUUCAUGUUACUCACUUACCUAUCUUGAUAUUCAAAUUGUUAAUACUUCAUUCUUCCUACUUGCUGAUUCUAGACACUUUUUGUCUUGAUAAAUUGUUUGCUUAUAAAGUGUCCUGUGCAUAGGAAGUAUGUUAGACUUAACUGUUCUUAUCACAUGUUUUAUGAUGCUCUCUUUGAGAUUCAAUUCUUGUCUUUUAUGUGACCAUCAUUGAAAUUUCAAGCCUAUCUUAAUGGCUAUAAAGAAAGAGCUUGUUGAAAGGCAACCCAAUAGUUAUCAUUUACUUUUGUUUGUUUGUGAUAACAUGAUUAUUGACUCGAUAAUGAUUGUGUUUUUAGGUUUUAGUUAGUGUUUUUGCCAAGUAAAGCCUUUGGGAUGAUUUGCAUGAUGAGUAGACUUGAUACGGUGCAAAAACAGAAACUUUGAUGUCCAGUGUAGAAUUUCUCCGAUUUUACCGGAAUAUAUUUUUAAGCUGAUUUCUUUUACAAAGUAUUGCAAUAAAAAUUCCUCAGGUCAUCCUAAUUGUUGAGAAUUUUUGGAGUUACAGAAUUAUAGGUUCAUUACAUAUUACUACACACUGUUCUGUUUUGUGGAUGGAGGAGAUGGAGAGCGGAGGUGAGGUGUGCUUCUUGACUAGCGCCUAGACACAUUUAUAUAGCACGAUAAUGCAAAAAGCUAUCUGGAGAGAUGUUUAAUGUUCGUCGGAACAUGCACAAACAGGUGGUGCUCACGGCGCUAGAGUAGGUUACUUGGCACACAUAUCGGUUUAAAGGAGGUAGGCGGGCAGACGGAUCCCGUUUUAGUGUGGAGAGAAGGUGUGAACAUCUGACGAUCAGUGGGUGGCACUCUCGAUUGGCGAGCCUCUUUCAUGUCGGCUCCAGUGAGUGGUCGCGUCCUCUCUAGCCAACAUGAAUGCGGGCAUCUAGAAUUGGGAGGGAGCACAAGAGGGCAUGUGAAAUGUGUGUUUGGUGGGCCAGGUUAGUUAGAUGUGGGCGUGGCAGUGGUCUAGACGCCUACACCCCCUCCAAGUUUGUUUGUGGUCGGGUGGCCAAAGAGAGCGUCUCGACUGCCAAACAGACCAAUGUAGCCCCGUGUUGGAUGGCAAAACACGCCUAGACCACCGAACAAAUCAAUGUAGACGCGUGUUGGAUGGCGAAACACAUCCACACCGCGUGAUCCAGACCGUUACAGAUGGUUUGAGGGUCGACAUUAAAGAUGCUUUUACUAGUCAAAGUUAUAUCCCACUAUGACUAGGCUAAAAAAAUGUAACGGGGCCUAGCCACUGUGCGUUUAUGCCGUGAUAUUAUGUGGUUUCAUUUUCGUGAUGAAACUGGAGCGAGGCCACCCCCUAUUUUCCUUAAAAUAUAAUGUAGUCCCUCCUAAAGAAAUAUAAGAGUGUUUAGAUCACUAGUUUAAUGAUCUAUAUGUUAUUAUAUUUCUUUGUAGAGGGAGUAUAUAAUAUGAUGCGGAAAUGCAAGAAAAGUUUGAUGUUUAUUGUGUUGAGCUGCAUCAACUAUGUACCCAGUCUAGAUUGAUCAAACACCUAUAUCUAAUUUAGCUUUAUCAAUAUGAGUCAACACCAGAUAUGAUUAGAGGUGUCGCAUGAUCUGCUGAAGGAAGCUGCUAGAAGAUGACAUGGCAACAAGAGGUAGCCUUCAUAGUCAGGCCAGCAACCAGUGCCAAUGAUCAAAUGACAACGAAAGAUGGGGCAAAAAUAUGUUACAAUGGCGACCCACAUGAUUAGGUUUUCUUGUACUCCCACCCACACCGUCGUCGUUCCUCCCCGACUUUGAUGGUCUUUGGGCCAUGGAUGUGCGCCCCCUAGCGGGAUGAACUCCUCUCUCAUUCUUGUUAGGUUCAACGUCUUCGUUGGGGUUGUGUGGCAGCGGCAAUGCCCCUCGAUGGAAUAAUGUAUCCCACAUGCGAUGCCCGCCCGUGGUGUUUCUAGCAUCGCCGGAGGGCGUAUGGAGGCGUGUCUCCAUCAGAUCUUGUGGGAUUCGGUCGGUGCUUGUCUUUGUUGGUUAUUUUUUGCAUACAAUCUUUAUUCGUGCGUUUAUAUAUUUUAUCCUUUUGAUCACGACUCUCUUCAUCAACGUUAGUUGCCGCUUUGUUGCCUGGUCCCAUGGGGACUUAACACCGACUUUUCAGUUGUCUAUUACAAUAAGGUUUACCUGACUCUCGUGAGGUGGGGGAGGGGGCGAUGAUAAUGGCACGACUUCGGCAUGCUCGAGUGCUUGUAGUCAUCGCUAGGUGGUAUAUGGACCUGAUUAUAAUUUUGAUUACCUGUGGUCUUCUCUGUACUAUCCUUAUAGAUUAUAAAUAGGUUGAAGUUUCUCCAACAUAAAAUAAGAUCAAAGACCAAGAAAAAUUUGGUGUAGAACACUUUUCUUUUGUAAAUAGUACUCUAUGCGUUUUUUGUAUGGAGAUGAAAUUGGCUCCUCCUCUGGUGAUGGCAGGGGUGACUCUGCAAGCUUUCUCAACCCACUUAGCGCGUCGGCGACAACUGUUGUCCUCGCCUCCACUUCUCCAUCAGAAGGUACCAUCGCCCCUCCUUCGCCCCCGACCUCGCUUGCUUCCCCAACUGCCAUCCGUUUGGCAGCAUGGGCGGACCUCACAGAGGAGGAUGACCGAGCUAUGGGAUGCCCCAUCCUCCAUCGUGCUGCAGUGAGCCCGCUCUGUACCCAUGUCAGCGUGGAUAUGUCUGCUGUUAUCGCUGGCGCUCCCCCUAGGUGUGGACGCUGUGCCGGCCUGGUGCGGCACAUCCCAUGACAUAGGCCUCUUUGCUUUGCUUGAGCACCGACGGGAAAAGGUUUGCCCUUACGGAGUAGGGUGUGCCAUGGCUGCUCCCAUGGCUGUGGGGGGGGGGGGGGGGGGUCAGGGACGUGUUGACGGGGGACUAGCCUGCUUCUCCUAGCGUGCUGGUGAAAGAGCAUGCCUCCCCAUGGUUUUGGUAAUUGAUGACAAUCUCUAUGGACGAGUGAUUGCCUUGAGUUAAAUUUGAAGGGUUUGUUCAUAUGCAUUGCUUGAAGACCAUCUCUUUGUUUAAAGGUUAUUAGAAGAACAAUUGUAACACCUUGUGUGUGACAAAAGCGCAUAUAUAAAUACUUUACUCCGACUUUUGUUAGGACAAUAACUAAUUGGAUACUUUUACUAAAGUGCUACAUAACCCUGUGUAUUUUGCAUGCCUUCACGAUCUCUUAUAAUUUUACGCUACCAACUCACUUGCAUUGCUAAUUCAUACAACCAUUCAACUCUGUUUAGUAUUUUUUUUGUGGGUCCUGUUUUUUUUUCUUUUUUUUGCGAUGGAAAAGAGAGCUUUAUUUAGUUACUGAUAGGAUUUCAAUCGGUAGCCAGAAGGCUAAUUAGAGCAUCAUGGGCAUCCGACAACCAUAACUCGGUUCGACGUUUCGUUCUUAACAAAUAGGCUAUUCGAUCUGUAGCCCUAUUCUGCGAACGAUCAAUACAUAAAAGACAGUGACAUGCCAGACAGAGAGUGAAUUUCCAUGAUGCCUAGUCAAUUCUAGACAAGAUGCCAAACAAAUCCAUGUUUUUGGUUCUGAUUGGCUCAUUCUUAGCUGAGCACAAUGGCACGUGUUGGCUUAACUUGCAUGAAGCCAUCUUGUGGAUUAUACCUGAUCUUGGAGUUGAUUUAUUUCAUGGACCAACCCAUGUUCACACAUUCAAUGUUAUUUCUACACAUUUAUGGCACCCCCCCUCUCACAUUCUUGAUAUAUAAAAUCGUGAACCUGUUGCAUGGUUCACUUCCAACUUGCGCAUUCUUCAUGAUUUUUGGUUGCUAUGUCCUAGCAGACCAUAAGAGUCUCAAUUCCCUCACCAAAAAGUGCAAUCUUUCUACUAUUGCAAGAAUCUAGUACUUGGAAUGCGUGGCAUCCGGUAAACUGUAGAAGCAAACUGCCUCCAUAAGUCUUCCUUGCACCGUGGGCAAAUUGGUUCGUUCAGGCUGCUAAGUAAAAAUAAAAGGCAACAAUAGAGUCAGACCGAUCAAAACUGCCACAACACCAAAGUUCUCAUCAUCAUGGCACGCUUGCAUCACAUUUGCAUCACUAUGUACGGAUGGCAUGCUGCUGGCCCGAGUCGCGUAUGAAGAUGUUACGUCGUAUGUUCACUCUAUACUAUUCCUGAAAUAAAUGCUUGUCCCGGCCGUCAGGUGGUAGUUAAAUGUGCUGCCAAUGAUGUUUUCAUACUCACAUGCAUUGUUUUGGCCUUGUGGAAAGCAUAUUUGGAUUGAUUUUCUUUUGUCAUCCACAUGUAUACUGAAAAACAAAAAUGUUUUCUAAAGAUCCAACAGUCCAUUUUGAUUACUAAUUAUCUUAUAAUGGAUAGCCAAUAUCCCCUUAAUGUAACAUGUAAAAUUCACCCAAAUGGGAUUGAGAACGCUCACACUUUCCCUUAACUUUCCCAAUCUACUAGAGGACCAGGCCACUGCCCUCGUUGCCACUCUUUAGCCUCGUUGUCAUCUUCACCCCCCACACUCCGAUGUCACACCUAUGCUGAUGUUCUGGAGAUGGCCGUACAUCUCUACAGUCCGGGCGCAGAGAUGCACAAAAAAUCAUGCAAUGACAUCCCUAUAAACAUAGCCUUUCCAUGUCUUUGAUGCGAAAUGAAAAAAUAGUAAUAUGCUCAGGCCACAAGAUAUUUCAAUGAGAUUCGUGCAAUAUUCGGAGUUCAACAUGUAUAGGAUAGAUUGUGUAUCGAACCAGCACCCAUGUGUAUGCAUGUACAUGUUGGAUACCAAUAUGCAUGGCGAAUCGAUUAAUUUACUGGUUUGCAUGAAUGUAUAUCAGGAUUGACCUGUUAAUGCAAAUUCGUGUGAGAUUUUUUUGUCAAGCUGAUGCACCCUCUUCAAAUAUCUCAAUUUUACAGGAUUCCUGUGGUUGAUAUUAUGACCAUCGGAGGUAAAACUGCUAUCCUGUGAGCUUCCUCUCUGGGUAACCUCGUCCCUGGCAUAUGCUUCAACAAGUUUAUGUUGACACCUCAUCGUAAACCUCUUAUUCAUAGUGGUUGACUCACCACUUUCCGAGCUAGCAAAAUCAUAACUUGCACCAAAAUGUCUCCCCAUUUCCGAUUCAACGGAUUACAAACUGCCUGAAGCUUAUUCCAUUUUUUGGUCAUACGCGGGUUUAAAUUACCAUGUCCAUAUGAAACCUCCGAUCUCUUUUGACUCGCCAUGGUAUAACCUGUUUUAAUCCCUUUCUUUCUAAAUUCAUUCCUAUGGUUAACUAAUUGCAUAUUACUGCUCUUCUUUACAUUGCGAGUUUUUUUGUUCUAAAUAGACAAUUUCAACUACAACAGAUUAUUUAAUCAUACCAGAUACCUUAUGAAACGAGCAUGCGUCCUUAUGGGCAAGUUAUUAGCAAAUGGCAUUUUCUCCAUUUGAUCUAUUAGUAAACAUGCGAUUGUCAAAUGCAGUUCUGAAUCUUCAAAGAAGCAUGAAACGCUACAGCAGCAAAACAGAACACAUUCAGCAUAAACCAAGAAUGAUACAUACAAAGAAAAUCCUUUCGGAUAAUACUAUAUCCAUUAUUUUCGCUUAAGCACGACCUCUAACGAAUUAAACUCACGAGCUAGUAAGGAACGCAUGUACCAGAUCCAUGCCAAACCCAUUGCUUUCCGUAAAAUAAUAACUUAAUAAACAUAUGUAAGUAGUUGAAAUAUAGUUAGAUAAAAGUUUCUAGAAUAUACUUUCAGUUGCAGCUAGCAGCGAUGCCAAAUCAAACAGUAAGUUGCAGUUGAAUAUGACAAUUUAUAGUUGUCGUUCCUUUUUUAAGGCCAUGAUUUUUUGUUGUACUGUAGUGGUACAUGGAGUGACACCUGGUGUUUCGACAUUUCUGCAUUAAAAAUGUGCUCCCAACUGCCUUUUUUUGACUUACCAUCUCAAAUUCACUCUACAUAUAGAUCUCUUGGCUCAAAAGUCAUUGUCUUCAUGUGCCCUGCCUCUGCUGUUACUUACUCCUCUCUUGUGCCCUGCCUCUGCUUUUGCUCGUGUGUUUUGUUCUUAAAACUUGUUCGGUUAGCUUGUCCUCCACAAAUUAAGAUAGUCAUCUCAUAAUCCGGCAUGUUUUUUUUUUCACAUCAAGUUUGGAUGCACCAGGUAGCCAGGCAUGCGUCCACAGUCCAGUGUCUCGAAAUGGACGGCAUCAGGAAACCACCGGCAAGUCUAUUACUGAACGGCCAUUGAUUUAGGUUGAAUGUAUCCUGCAGAAGAGCGAUGGUAAAGGUCAAGCGCCAUCUCCCACCCGUGUGGGUGGACCAUGCAGUUCGUCUUGUCGUCUUUUACUCGUAGGCGGUACCUGCAUCACGCUCAAUCAUUGAGAGGAUAUGUGGAAAGAUGAUCACAACACUGAUGUCUAGGUCAUUAACUAGCAAUGCAACAUACUUCCUCCGUCCGGAAAUACUUAUUCUAUAAAUAGAUGAAUCUAGACUGAUUUUAGUUAUAAAUACAUUCAUUACAUUCAUUUUUAGGAUAAGUAUUUUCGAACAGAGGGAGUAGAAUACAGUAGUAGACACUUGUGGCCAAUUUCUACGGACUGUGCUUACGGACGCCAUCAAGGUCUCACCUCUCACGUGGUUAGCGGAGAUUGAAACGGCUGGUCAUCGUAUUCCUCCAUAAAGCGGCGAUUUGACGCCACGUCUGUCCGUAGACUCCUUGAGUAGCAAAUCAUCCGUAAGAAGAGCAUUAUUGUAAUAGGACUGACUAAGACAUCAGUCACUCAAGAUACGGGACACUAAUCACAAGAGAAACGCUCGUUGCUAGUCACCUGGGAGCUCGUAUAAGGUUUGUGCGGAUUUUUUUACAUUUCUGACGCACAUGCUAUAAAUAAUUUACAGAACAAACUCAAUCUGAAAGUAUUUUCGGAUCUGAUCCUUUUAAAAACGUCAGAGCCCGUGGCGUUGCUGCUCCACGUAAAAACGCUAGUCUACCAUGGCGUUUCUGGUCCAAAUUCAAACGCCAGUCUACGGACGCGUUGCAGUCCAUGCAUAAACGCCACAACUUCUGUCGUUGCCCCUCGGGAUAGAAACGCCAUUGUACCUGGCGUUUGUGUGCGUUUUCUAUUUUUUUUUGACUUUUUUUACGUCUAUUAUUCGUACUAGCAAAAUAGUCCGUGCGUUGCAACGGGAGAAAAAAAUACCACACGCUUUUAAUUUUUUUAUAAUUAUUUUGAUUUAUUAAAAUAAUAAGUUAACAAACUAAUGUAGUUAGUCCUAUCCUAUUUUGUUGAAAAAUCAACCCGUCCAUUGUUAAUUUCACCAUAAUGAGAAAUUAAAGCGCGGGUUGAAUAACAAAAAUUACAGGUUUUUUUUUAAUAAAAAUGACGUGAUGGGUUUUCUGAUGAAAGCAAUAGCGGCUUUAUUAUUGGGUAUAGAUAUACACGGCACGUCAGUGAACAGGACACCAGAAAAACUAUACUGUAGUUGAUCAUGAGUAACAUCAAUGGUGCAUUCCCCGUUCUGCCAGGUAGCUGAGCCGUACAAAAGUCCUGGUUCACGGACUGUCGAUGAACUGAUUGGGGAAGCUCAUUAUUUAAUUGCAUGCUCGAAAACUGAAUUAGUCAAGUACAUCAUCCAUCUGACUAUACGUGAAACGCGUGCCAUGUUUAUUAGCUUGUGAACCUAUAUCGCAUGGCUAUAAAUCACACAAAAAAACUCAUAGUGCAAGUUCGGCAACUAUGUACUACUGUAGAUCAUGCUGUAUAAUCAUUCUGGGGCUUCACAAAUUAUACUAACAGUUUUGUGUGAAACCUAGAAGAGUGCCUAGUUUCAACACAAUACUCAUAUGCAUGAUCUUUCUUUCACAUUUGUUUUUCCAAAUUUAGAAGUAAUUCAGCUAUGCACAAACGGAUGGUUCGGCUCAUUUGGACACACGUCCAAACUAAUAAUUUCCGCAAUGGACAAUUUCUCCUUCUUUUACAAGAGAGGAUGCGUUUAUUUUGCUGCCAUGCAUAGUCAUCAAUUUGCUUGCAGCUGACAAGGAGGUAACAUCCUAUACUAGGUAGCUACAGAACCAUCCCUGUACAUCCUAGAUACACUAGGCUAGGAUUCUUGCGUACACAUCACGUUGUGAGUAGCUAGGCUCUCGUGCGUAAGUAUUGCUCACACGUAGGCUUGUUAGCUCAGGGGCAAUGAUCCAAAGUGAAUUAAACAAAGCCCAGCUACAAUGGUGUUUCUAGUCUGGGAAGCAACGCCAAAAGUUGUGACGUUUCUGCGUGGACUGCAACGCGUCCGUAGACUGACGUUUGAAUUCGGAUCAGAAACGCCAAGGUAGACUGACAUUUUUACGUGGAGCAGCAACGCCUCGGGCUUUGGCGUUUCUAAAA
This 69291-nucleotide long non-coding RNA is filed under the name Hordeum vulgare. RNAcentral describes it as "long non-coding RNA (HVUL_LNC013953)". The stretch from base 67346 to 67469 matches the Rfam family "MIR1120/MIR1122 microRNA precursor family". Lineage: Eukaryota; Viridiplantae; Streptophyta; Magnoliopsida; Poales; Poaceae. The record is from RNAcentral.